Molecule: long non-coding RNA, 64843 nt
Filed under: Triticum aestivum (bread wheat)
Lineage: Eukaryota; Viridiplantae; Streptophyta; Magnoliopsida; Poales; Poaceae
Description: long non-coding RNA (TAES_LNC013606)
Source: RNAcentral
UUCUUUUUUUCUGUUUCUACUGUUUUUUUUACUUUUGUUUCUUUUUUCUUCAUUCUUAUUCUGUUUUCUCCUUUUUUUUCUUUUCCCCCUUCUUUGUUUUUUGUUUGCUUUUCUUAUUUCUUCUUUGUUUUUUGUUUUUUUGUUUUUCUUUUGUUUCGUUCAUUGUUUUUAUCNNNNNNNNNNNNNNNNNNNNNNNNNNNNNNNNNNNNNNNNNNNNNNNNNNNNNNNNNNNNNNNNNNNNNNNNNNNNNNNNNNNNNNNNNNNNNNNNNNNNNNNNNNNNNNNNNNNNNNNNNNNNNNNNNNNNNNNNNNNNNNNNNNNNNNNNNNNNNNNNNNNNNNNNNNNNNNNNNNNNNNNNNNNNNNNNNNNNNNNNNNNNNNNNNNNNNNNNNNNNNNNNNNNNNNNNNNNNNNNNNNNNNNNNNNNNNNNNNNNNNNNNNNNNNNNNNNNNNNNNNNNNNNNNNNNNNNNNNNNNNNNNNNNNNNNNNNNNNNNNNNNNNNNNNNNNNNNNNNNNNNNNNNNNNNNNNNNNNNNNNNNNNNNNNNNNNNNNNNNNNNNNNNNNNNNNNNNNNNNNNNNNNNNNNNNNNNNNNNNNNNNNNNNNNNNNNNNNNNNNNNNNNNNNNNNNNNNNNNNNNNNNCUUUUCAUUCUUUUUUUAUUGUUUUUCUGCUUUUUUUCUUCAGUUUAAUUUUCCUUUUUUCUUUGGUUUCUUUUAUUUCUUUCUUAGGUUUUCUUUGUUUCUUUUGGUUUUCAUAUUAAAUAUUUUCUAUAUGUCAACAAUAUUUUUUAGUAAAUUUGUAAUUUUUUUACUACAUGGUCAAUAUUUUUUCUAUAUAGAUUUCUAACAUUUCUCAAAUGCUUCCUUAACAUUUUUCAAAUACAAUAUUAACAUUUUUUGAAUACAUGGUCAAUAUUUUUCGGACAGACUGUUAAACUUUUUCGAAUGGUUGAUUGACAUUUUCCAAAUACAAGAUUGACAUUUUCUUUUACAUAAUGAAUUUUUUUUGUAUGCACAUUUAACAUUUUUUCAAAUGGUUGGUUGACAUUUUCUAAAUGAUAUAUUAACAUGUUUUGAAUACAUGGUCAACAUUUUUUCUAUACACAUUUAACACUUUUCAAAUGCUCGACAAAUACUUGGUCAACAUUUCUUCAAAUGCUUGAUUAACAUUUUUAUAUACAUGAUCAUAAAAAUUCAUCAUUUUUUAAUACAUGGUCAACAUUGUUUUCUAUAGACAUUUAACAUUGUUCAGAUGCUUGAUCGACAUUUUUCAAAUGCUUGAUUAACAAUCUUAUAUACAUGAAAAAUUUCAUCAUUUUUUUAAUGCACGGUCAUCAUUUUUUGCAAUACAAAUUUAGCAUUUUUCAAAUGCUUAAUCGACAUUUUUCAAAUACUUGUUCAACUUUUUUCAAAUGCUGGAUUAACAUUUUUCAAAUACAUGAUCAAAUUUUUUGUACACACUUUUUAAUACUUUUUUUGUAUAUGUGAUAAUCAUUUUCUCUAUACACAUUUAACAUUGGGAGAUGGAUAACGGGAGUUGACCAUGGUCGUUCUAAAAGAAUAGCUAUGUACGUGGUCCACCUUGUAAAAAACUACUCCAUGUAAUCUUAAAUUAGUGGCGCAGUUUUAAACUAAGCUUAGUUGAAAACUAAUUCAAAAUUGCAACAUUUUGGGUCGGAGGGAGUAUGUACAAGGUCCUUACAAAGGCAGUGUGUCGCGCAAAAAAAUACAAAGGCAGUACGUGAGUAUUGUAAAAGAAACGGCAACGCGUAACAUCAAAGGAUUUUUGUUUCCAUUUCAAACAAAUUAAUGUAUUUGGGAUUAAAAAAUGGAAUUUUCUUAAGAAUGUUCAGAAUUUUAAAACUUUUAUGGAUUUAAAAAAUGAAGGAAUUUAAAAAAAAUCAGGAAUUUAAACAAUUUUACAAGAAUACAAAAAAUUAUCACGUACUCCCUCCGUUCCUAAAUAUUUGUCUUUUAGAGAUUUCAAAUGGACUACCACAUUCGGAUGUAUAUAGACAUGUUUUAGAGUGUAGAUUCACUCAUUUUGCUCCGUAUGUAGUCACUUGUUAAAAUCUCUAGAAAGACAAAUAUUUAGGAACGGAGGGAGUAUUUGAGAAAUGGUCAUGAAUUUAACUAUUGUUAACAAAUAUUAGAAUUUUUUUCAUGAAUUUCAAAAAAAUUGUGCAAAAAUUCAUAAAAAGUUCAAAAAUAUGCAUGGAUUUAAAAAUGUUUAUGAAUUUCAAAAAAGUUCAUGAAAUAAGAAAAUGUUCGUAGCAUUUGGAACAUGUGAUCUCUAGGGGUGAAGGAUGAUAUUAGCUUUGAUUAUCCCAAGUAGUGGCCUUGGAUGGGUUAUGGUCACUAGUAGAAAACAGGGCUUUGGUUGGGGCCUGGCCAGCCCAUUAGUCCCGGUUCAGCCACGAACCGGGACCCAUGGGCACAUACGUCCCGGUUCGUGAGUCCAGGGGGCUGGCCGAGGCCUCGUGGGCAUUCGUCCCGGUUCGUCUGGACCAAAUUGUCCCGGUUCCUGGCACGAGUCGGGACCAAUAGGCCUCGCUCCUGGCCCACAGCCAUUGGUCCCGGUUCGUGGCUCGAACCGGGACAGAAGGGGGGGCUUUAGUCCCAGUUCAAGGCACGAACCGGGACCAAUGAGGUGCCUAUAUAUACCCCAUCGCCACAGCAGAGCACUCCACAGUGCUCUGUUUUUUGCUGGCCGGCGACGGGAGGGCAUUUGGGUGCUCUAGCUCACCUCCUAUGCACAUGAGGUGUUCGAUGAAAUGCCCGAGCCACACUAGUUAAGCUUUCUCCUCUCGAAGCUUGACCUCCGAGCUCCAUUUUCCCCGAGAUUUGCAUAGGUUUAGCGGCCCGUCAUGUCCUGUCCCCGUCUUCACCGCCGUCGAUCGCCCGCGCCGAUCUCGUUGCCGGCACCACCGUGGUGAGCCUCUUGUUCUUAUCUUCUUUCUGAAAGAAAAGAAUUCUUACUUUAGAUAGAUACUUGUCUAAUUAUAUGUAAUGCACGCAGAUGAACCGACAAUGGAUGUAUGGUGACAGACACACCUUCGAGUAUGUUAAGGGCGUGCCUAAUUUUCUCGAAGUGGCUGAGGCAAACAAGCAGAAUAGUUUUAUGUGUUGUCCAUGCCCUAGUUGUGGGAAUACGAAGUCUUCCUCUGACAGGAAAAUCCUUCACACCCACCUUCUUUAUAAGGGUUUCAUGCCACACUAUAAUGUUUUGACGAGGCACGGAGAAAUAGGGGUUAUGAUGGAAGACAACGAAGAAGAAGAGGACGAUGACAACUAUGUGCCCCCCUGAAUACGGUGAUGCUGCAACGGGGGAAGCUGCUGAAGAUCAAGAUCAGGAACUAGAUGAUGUGCCCGAUAUCGAUGAUGAUGAUCUCCGUCGGGUCAUUGUUGAUGCAAGGACACAGUGCGAAAGUCAAAAGGAGAAGCUGAAGUUCGAUCGCAUGUUAGAGGAUCACAAAAAAGGGUUGUACCCCAAUUGCGAAGAUGGCAACACAAAGCUCGGUACCGUACUAGAAUUGCUGCAGUGGAAGGCAGAGAAUCAUGUGCCUGACAAAGGAUUUGAGAAGCUACUAAAAAUAUUGAAGAAGAAGCUUCCAAAGGAUAACGAAUUACCCGACAGUACGUACGCAGCAAAGAAGGUCGUAUGCCCUCUAGGAUUGGAGGUGAAGAAGAUACAUGCAUGCCCUAAUGACUGCAUCCCCUACCGCGGUGCGUACGAGGAUUUAAACGCAUGCUCGGUAUGCGGUGCAUUGCGGUAUAAGAUCAGACAAGAUGACCCUGGUGAUGUUGACGGCGAGCCCCGCAGGAAGAGGGUUCCUGCGAAGGUGAUGUGGUAUGCUCCUAUAAUACCACGGUUGAAACGACUGUUCAGAAACAAAGAGCAGCAAGGUUGAUGCGAUGGCACAGUGAGGACCGUAAGAAAGACGAGAAGUUGAGAGCACCCGCUGACGGGUCGCAGUGGAGAAAAAUCGAGAGACAGUACUGGGUUGAGUUUGCAGGUGACCCAAGGAACGUAAUGGUUUGGUUUAAGCGCGGAUGGCAUUAAUCCUUUCGGGGAGCAGAGCAGCAAUCACAACACCUGGCCCGUGACUCUAUGUAUGUAUAACCUUCCUCCUUGGAUGUGCAUGAAGCGGAAGUUCAUUAUGAUGCCAGUUCUCAUCCAAGGCCCUAAGCAACUCGGCAACGACAUUGAUGUGUACCUAAGGCCAUUAGUUGAAGAACUUUUACAACUGUGGAAUGGAAACAGUGUACGUGUGUGGGAUGAGCACAAACAGGAGGAAUAUAACCCGCACGCAUUGCUGUUUGUAACCAUCAACGAUUGGCCCACUCUCAGUAACCUUUCAGGAUAGACAAACAAGGGAUACCAUGCAUGCACGCACUGUUUAGCUGACACCGAAAUUAUAUACCUGGAGAAAUGCAGGAAGAAUGUGUACCUGGGCCAUCGUUGAUUUCUUCCGACCAACCAUCAAUGUCGAAAGAAAGGCAAGCAUUUCAAAGGCGAGGCAGAUCACCGGAAGAAGCCCGCCAUGCGUACCGGUGAUCACGUACUUGCUAUGGUCAAUGAUUUACAUGUAAUCUUUGGAAAGGGUCCCGGCGGAGUAGCUGUUCCGAAUGACGCUGAGGGACGCGCACCCAUGUGGAAGAAGAAAUCUAUAUUUUGGGACCUACACUACUGGAAAGACCUAGAGGUCCGCUCUUCAAUCGACGUGAUGCACGUGACGAAGAACCUUUGCGUGAACCUGCUAGGCUUCUUGGGCGUGUAUGGGAAGACAAAAGAUAAAGCUGAUGCACGGGAGGACCUGCAACGUUUGCACGAAAAAGACGACAUGCCUCCAAAGCAGUAUGAAGGUCCGGCCAGCUACGCUCUUACCAAAGAAGAGAAGGAAAUCUUCUUUGAAUGCCUGCUCAGUAUGAAGGUCCCGACUAGCUUCUUGUCGAAUAUAAAGGGAAUAAUAAAUAUGCCAGAGAAAAAGUUCCAGAACCUAAGUCUCAUGACUGCCACGUGAUUAUGACGCAACUGCUUCCGGUUGCAUUGAGGGGGCUUCUACCGGAAAACGUCCGAUUAGCCAUUGUGAAGCUAUGUGCAUUCCUCAAUGCAAUCUCUCAGAAGGUGAUCGAUCCAGAAAUCAUACCAAGGCUAAGGAGUGAUGUGGCACAAUGUCUUGUCAAUUUCGAGCUGGUGUUCCCACCAUCCUUCUUCAAUAUCAUGACGCACGUCCUAGUUCAUCUAGUCGACGAGAUUGUCAUUCUGGGCCCCGUAUUUCUACACAAUAUGUACCCCUUUGAGAGGUUCAUGGGAAUUCUAAAGAAAUAUGUCCGUAACCGCGCAAGGCCAGAAGGAAGCAUCUCCAUCGGCCAUCAAACAGAGGAUGUCAUUGGGUUUUGUGUUGACUUCAUUCCUGGCCUUAAGAAGAUAGGUCUCCCUAAAUCGCGGUAUGAGGGGAGAUUGACUGGAAAAGGCCCGCUUGGAGGGGACUCAAUAAUAUGCAGGGACGGGCAUUCUUGGUCUCAAGCACACUACACAGUUCUACAGAACUCUACCUUGGUGACCUCGUAUGUCGAUGAAUACAAGAACAGUCUGUGCUCCAAACACCCGGAGCAGUGCGACAACUGGAUUACAUGUGAACACAUCAGGACUUUCAGCAGUUGGUUGGAAACACGUCUCAGAGGUGACAACACUGUUUGUGAUGAGCUGUACUCGUUGUCCAGGGGACCAUCUUCGACUGUAUUGACUUACAAAGGAUACGAGAUAAAUGGGAAUACAUUUUACACGAUCGCCCAAGAUCAAAAGAGCACCAACCAAAACAGCGGUGUCCGCUUUGAUGCAGCAACCAAGAGGGGAAAGGACAUAUAUUAUGGUUACAUAGUGGACAUAUGGGAACUUGACUACGGACAUGAUUUUAAGGUCCCUUUGUUUAAGUGCAAAUGGGUCAAUCUGUCAGGAGGCGGGGUACAGGUAGACCCACAGUACGGAAUGACAACAGUGGAUCUGAACAAUCUUGGGUACACUGACGAACCAUUCAUCCUAGUCAAUGAUGUGGCACAGGUUAUCUAUGUGAAGGACAUGUCUACCGAACCGAGAAAAAGAAAAGAUAAGGAAGCGAAUACAUCAUACGAUGAGCCAAAGCGCCACAUAGUUCUUUCAGGAAAAAGGGACAUCUUGGGAGUGGAGGGCAAGAUAGACAUGUCUGAAGAUUAUGAAAAGUUUCAUGAAAUUCCUCCCUUUAAAGUCAAGGCUGACCCAAGCAUCCUGAUAAACGAUGAAGAUUAUCCAUGGUUACGGCGUAAUAAGAAAAGGACACAAGGGAAGAAAAAGUGAAGACUUUCUCUCCACAACUAUUAUGAUGAUACCAUGCCAACUUUCAACCUUUUCGUAGUUCAUUUGAAAUGCCUAUUGUAACAGACGAGUUUCUGUAUGAAACCCUGAUAUCUCGAAACAGAUUGUCCGUUUUGUACACGAAGUGCAUCCAGUUUUUGCCGUAACCCUCUCAAAUUGUUUGCACAUGCUAUGUGGGUGAAAUGAUGAUACCAUGCCAACUUUCAACCUUUUCAGAGUUCAUUUGAAAUGCUUUUCAAUUUGAGGGUCUUAUAGCUAAAAAAAAUCAGUAAAUGCAUGAAAAAUAACAAAUAAAGUCAGAGAGGGAUGAAAAUUGAUGAUGUGGCUUUGAAUGGUGCAUUUUGAACACGAAAAAAGUCUGGAGUUCAACUAAGUUCAAAAAAACGAAAUCCCUUUGUAACAGACGAGUUUCCAUAUGAAACCCUGAUAUCUCGAAACAGAUUGUCCGUUUUGUACACGAAGUGCAUCCAGUUUUUGCCAUAACCCUCUCAACGUUUUUGCACAUGCUAUGUGGGUGAAAUGAUGAUACCAUGCCAACUUUCAACCUUUUCAGAGUUCAUUUGAAAUGCUGUUCAAUUUCAGGGUCUUAUAGCUCAAAAAAAAUCAGUAAAUGCAUGAAAAAUAACAAAUGAAGUUAGAAAGGGAUGAAAAUUGAUGAUGUAAGUAGAAACCAAAUAAAAUAAAAUAUAUAAGUAGAAACAAAAUAAACUUUAAUAACAUAAAUAAAAUUUAUGGACCUAAAAUUACCAAAGUAUUUUAUGUUCAAAACAUUAUAAGCAAAAAGAAUUUUCCUGAAAUAAAUAAAAUAGCAACAGUAAGUAUUUUGUUGUAAACAGAAACAAAAUAAAAUAAAUAAAGCAAAAAAGAAAAGAAAAAUUUGAAAAAAAUAAAAUAAAAAAUGCCACCUACUGGGCCAUCACGGCCUGAAUACGACUAGAAAUGCAUCAAUGGGCCAGGAUUCAGGCCCGCAGAAGGCCCGACAGGCCCACAGGCAUAGCAGUGCAAGAUUAGGCCCAUAGGCCUGCAGUUCAGAGGAGUUCAAUGGAGAUGGCGGGGCAGGGCUUAUAAACAGGCCCGGCCGCUCCUCGGCUAGCGAGGAGGGACUAAACAUCCCACCGCGGCUUUGGCAGGCGCAGGACAUUGGUCCCGGUUGGUGCCACGAACCGGGACCAAUGCACACCUUUGGUACCGGUUCGGGGCACCAACCGGAACCAAUGACCCCCCCUUUAGUCCCGGUUGGUGCCACCAACCGGGACCAAAGGCCUCUGCUUCCCGCCCUUUGNNNNNNNNNNNNNNNNNNNNNNNNNNNNNNNNNNNNNNNNNNNNNNNNNNNNNNNNNNNNNNNNNNNNNNNNNNNNNNNNNNNNNNNNNNNNNNNNNNNNNNNNNNNNNNNNNNNNNNNNNNNNNNNNNNNNNNNNNNNNNNNNNNNNNNNNNNNNNNNNNNNNNNNNNNNNNNNNNNNNNNNNNNNNNNNNNNNNNNNNNNNNNNNNNNNNNNNNNNNNNNNNNNNNNNNNNNNNNNNNNNNNNNNNNNNNNNNNNNNNNNNNNNNNNNNNNNNNNNNNNNNNNNNNNNNNNNNNNNNNNNNNNNNNNNNNNNNNNNNNNNNNNNNNNNNNNNNNNNNNNNNNNNNNNNNNNNNNNNNNNNNNNNNNNNNNNNNNNNNNNNNNNNNNNNNNNNNNNNNNNNNNNNNNNNNNNNNNNNNNNNNNNNNNNNNNNNNNNNNNNNNNNNNNNNNNNNNNNNNNNNNNNNNNNNNNNNNNNNNNNNNNNNNNNNNNNNNNNNNNNNNNNNNNNNNNNNNNNNNNNNNNNNNNNNNNNNNNNNNNNNNNNNNNNNNNNNNNNNNNNNNNNNNNNNNNNNNNNNNNNNNNNNNNNNNNNNNNNNNNNNNNNNNNNNNNNNNNNNNNNNNNNNNNNNNNNNNNNNNNNNNNNNNNNNNNNNNNNNNNNNNNNNNNNNNNNNNNNNNNNNCCCAGUGAGCCCCUGCGCCCCUGCCCUGCCCCCCCGGCGCCGCCGCCGCCGUGGACGUGGCCGCCGUAUGCAUAUAUGUUUUUUUGCAUAUAUGUUGAUGUAUGGAUAUAUAUGUAUGCAUAUAUGUUUUUUCUGUUCAUAGAUUUUUUUUGUGAUAUUAUAUUGUUGAAUGUGCAAAUGUUUGUAUGUUCAUAUUUAGAAGAAAAAGCAGGAGAGGAAAAAGGGAAAUAAGAAGAGGAAGAAGAAGAAGAAGAAGAAGAAAUAGAAUAAUAUAUUCUAUUUCUUCUUCUUCUCCUCUUUUUUCUUCUUCUUUUUUUUCUUUGAUCUUCUCCUCUAUUCCUUUCUUCUUCUCCUCUUUUUUUCUUCUUCUUCCUCUUCUUAUUUUUUAUCGGGUAUGUCGUUGUCGAUAUACCCCCUCCCCGAUAACUUCGACAUGAGGGGGGGGGGUCGAUAAAUAAUAGAACUAGUUAAACUAGUUUAUUUUUAGUAAGUACUACUUUAUUUUAUUUAUAGUAAGUGCUUAGUAGUUGAACUAGUUGAUUUAAUAAAACUACUUUAUUUUACUAUAUAUAGAAGUAGUUUAUUUUUAGUAAGUACUACUUUAUUUUAUUUAUAGUAAGUGCUUAGUAGUUGAACUAGUUGAUUUAAUAAAACUAUUUUAUUUUACUAUAUAUAGAAGUAGCUUAUUUUUAGCAAGAAAAUUAAUAGAACUAGUUUAUUUUUUUAGUUCAAGCAAUUAUUCCCGCAUCGACGUCGACGAUGCCAAUCCCGCAUCCUCGUCGUCGACUCGGCGGAGGAGGCCGGCUUGAUCAGAGGGGCCAUGUCCGGGACUGGGCUCCGCCAGGGCUGGUAUUGGGAGGUGCUACCUUCCGGGGGGCGUAGGUUGGUGAGGAGCCAGCCCGUCAUUGACCCGAACCUUGUUUGGUGGCGGUCGCGUGGGCCAGUGACGGUGCCGAGGCUUCCGGACACCGCGGAGGUGGUACGUCACCGUGUCAGCGAGGAGGACGAGCACGUCCGUCGCUACAUGGUUGCGUUCGACAAUACCUGGCAGGUUCUUCAGGGAUCUCACUGGAGCUAUGAUCCUGUGAUGGUUCCUUCUCUUUGGGUGUCCACCGCCCGUGCCGAUACCCAUCGGGCGCUACGGUUCUAGCUGUAUUAGCGAUGCUAUAUGUAUGAUAGUAUUUGAGGUGUAUUAGUGAUAAUAUUCGACGAUGUACGGACGCAAGAGAUGAUGUAGUUUUUCUUAUAAUUGAAUGCAUGCUAAUUUGAAUACUACUUUAUUUUACGAUUUGGUUUUGCUUAUUGAAUGCUCAAAUUGGAAAAGUACUCCUACUUUGAAUGCUAAAAUUGAAGAGCACUAUGCAAGGCGUAUGCAUUUGAUUAGUUGAUAGCUUAUAGGGUUUUUGUUUUUGCAGAAAUCUGGGAGCCCCCUCCAUCAUCCCCGUCGUCGUCCUCGUCACCGACCCCCCUCCGACCUCGAGGUGAGACCAGCCAAAUCUUCAUGCAUGUCAAUAUGAGUCCUAUAAGAUAUUUUGAAAUGUUUUUGCUCAUACUUUGAACCAUUGAAAUGUAAUGGCCAUCAAGUUUGAAUGCUCAUAUGAUGUAGAUAAAAACAUGUAUAUUUCCGUUCCGGCAAAUUUCAGGCGCUCGAUAUGUCCUUUUUUAGAAAGAUAAUUAAACGAUACUUCGGGUUGACUUUAAGUCUGUGGAGUCUCCACCAUAUAUGAGAGGACGAAGAAUCUCGACUGUUGUCGUGGGGGUAGCUUCUCCUACGUUCCCGUGUGCUAGACAAUCUGGUGUAAUGCACUCGGGAACGAAAGGAGGAGCUACCAUCACCGACGGUCGCAAAUGUCAGAGAGGGAUCAGUGAGGGAGAGUCUCCACCAUAUAAAUAUGAGAGGAUGAAGAAUCCCGACUGUUGUCGUGGGGGUAGCUUCUCCUUCAUUCCCAAGUGCUAGACAACUUGGUGUAAUGCACUCGGGAAUGAAAGGAGGAGCUACCAUGCAUCACCGACGGUCGAAUACGUACACCACGUGAGCUGAGAGUUUUCAAGAAAAGACUCGACAGACCGAUAGUCAGCCCGUGAUGAAUAAUAAUGAUCUAAUUUAGGUUUUUUAGUACAUAUAUUUAAUUGUACAAGUUUAAUAUUUGAAUUAUGAACAUAGGAAAUGUCGUACUCGGACGACGAAAGUCUCCCGGGGGAGUGCGAUUGGUGCCACGACGACUGAGGUCUGUGCGACAGGCCUCACCUGGACGAAGAUCGGCGCUUCAGCAUUAAGCUGGAGGAGACCUUCGAUAUUGAAACGGUACGCAACGACGACAAGUGUUUUUUCGUAAUUAAGCACGACUUCAACUAUUUCAACGUGUAAUUUUCAUCUUUUACAAUUCGACUAGUGAUACGUCUCCAACGUAUCUAUAAGUUUUGAUUGUUCCAUGCUAUAUUAUAUUCUGUUUUGGAUGUUUAUUGAGCUUUGUUAUACACUUUUAUAUUAUUUUUGGGACUAACCUAUUAACCGGAGGCCCAGCCCAAAUUGCUGUUUUUUGCCUAUUUCAGUGUUUCGAAGGAAAAGGAUAUCAAACGGAGUCCAAACAGAAUGAAACCUUUGGGAACGUGAUUUUCGAAACAAAUGUGAUCUAGAGGACUUGGAGUCUACGUAAAGCAACCAACGAGGAGGGCACGAGGCAGGGGCGCGCCUACCCCCCAGAAGCGCCCUCCACCCUCGUGGGGCCCACGUUGCUCCACCAACGUACUUCUUCCUCCUAUAUAUACCCAUAUACCCUGGAAACAUCAUAUACGGAGCCAAAACCCUAUUUCCACCGCCGCAACUCUCUGUACCCGUGAGAUCCCAUCUUGGGGCCUUUUCCGGCGCUCCGCCGGAGGGGGCAUUGAUCACGGAGGGCUUCUACAUCAAUACCAUAGCCUCUCUGAUGAUGUGUGAGUAGUUUACCUCAGACCUUCGGGUCCAUAGUUAUUAGCUAGAUGGCUUCUUCUCUCUCUUUGGAUCUCAAUACAAAGUUCUCCUCGAUCUUCUUGGAUAUCUAUUCGAUGUAAUCUUCUUUUGCGGUGUGUUUGUCGAGAUCUGAUGAAUUGUGGGUUUAUGAUCAAGUUUAUCUAUGAACAAUAUUUGAAUCUCCUCUGAAUUCUUUUAUGUAUGAUUGGUUAUCUUUGCAAGUCUCUUCGAAUUAUCAGUUUGGUUUGGCCUACUAGAUUGAUCUUUCUUGCAAUGGGAGAAGUGCUUAGCUUUGGGUUCAAUCUUGCGGUGUCCUUUCCCAGUGACAGUAGGGGCAGUAAGGCACGUAUUGUAUUGUCGCCAUCGAGGAUAAAAAGAUGGGUUUUAUAUCAUAUUGCAUGAGUUUAUCCCUCUACAUCAUGUCAUCUUGCUUAAAGCAGUACUCUGUUCUUAUGAACUUAAUACUCUAGAUGCAUGUUGGAUAGGGGUCGAUGUGUGGAGUAAUAGUAGUAGAUGCAGAAUCGUUUCAGUCUACUUGUCGCGGACGUGAUGCCUAUAUACAUGAUCGUACCUAGAUAUUCUCAUAACUAUGCUCAAUUCUAUCAAUUGCUCGACAGUAAUUCGUUUACCCACCGUAAUACUUAUGCUCUUGAGAGAAGCCACUAGUGAAACCUAUGGCCCCCGGGUCUAUUUUCCAUCAUAUUAAUCUUCCAACACUUAGCUAUUUCUAUUGUCGUACAUUUUACUUUGCAUGUUUAUUUCUCUUUAUUAUAAAAAUACCAAAAAUAUUAUCUUAUCAUAUCUAUGAGAUCUCACUCUCGCAAGUGACCGUGAAGGGAUUGACAACCCCUUUAUUGCGUUGGUUGCGAGGUUCUUAUUUGUUUGUGUAGGUGCGUGGGACUUGCGCGUGGUCUCCUACUGGAUUGAUACCUUGGUUCACAAAAACUGAGGGAAAUACUUACGCUACUUUACUGCAUCACCCUUUCCUCUUCAAGGGAAAACCAACGCAGUGCUCAAGAGGUAGCAAGAAGGAUUUCUGGCGCCGUUGCCGGGGAGGCUUACGCGAAGUCAAGUCAAGAUUUGAUUGCCCGACAACGAGCCAUUUCUGGCGCCGUUGCCGGGGAGUCUACGCACAAGUCAAGACAUACCAAGAACCCAUCACAAACUCUUAUCCCUCGCAUUACAUUAUUUGCCAUUUGCCUCUCGUUUUCAUCUCCCUCACUUCACCCUUGCCGUUUUAUUCGCCCUCUCUUUUCCGCUCGCCUUUCUUUCGCCAUGUCGGAAUAAAAAAAGGUUGGGGUUUCUCUCCCGAGUUUUAGUACUCUGGACAACCCUUCUAUUCUCUCUAAACUCAUGAAUAAAGAUGCUAUGGAAAGACCUACCGGAGUUAUCAAUGAGAGUUGUCGGUGUUAAAACCGGCGGACCACGGGUAGGGGGUCCCGAACUGUGCGUCUAAGGCAGAUGGUAACAGGAGGCGAGGGACACGAUGUUUACCCAGGUUCGGGCCCUCUCGAUGGAGGUAAUACCCUACUUCCUGCUUGAUUGAUCUUGAUGAUAUGAGUAUUACAAGAGUUGAUCUACCACGAGAUCGAGGAGGCUAAAACCCUAGAAGCUAGCCUAUGGUAUGAUUGUUGUUGUCCUACGGACUAAACCCUCCGGUUUAUAUAGACACCGGAGGGGGCUAGGGUUACACAGAGUCGGUUACAAGGGAGGAGAUCUACAUAUCCGUAUUGCCAAGCUUGACUUCCACGCCAAGGAGAGUCCCAUCCGGACACGAGACGAAGUCUUCAAUCUUGUAUCUUCAUAGUCCAACAAUCCGGCUGUCCGAGGACCCCCUAAUCAAGGACUCCCUCAGUAGCCCCUGAACAAGGCUUCAAUGACGAUGAGUCCGGCGCGCAGAUUGUCUUCGGCAUUGCAAGGCGGGUUCCUCCUCCGAAUACUCCAUAGAAGAUUUUGAACACAAGGAUAGUGUCCGGCUCUGCAAAACAAAUUCCACAUACCACCGUAGAGAGAAUAAUAUUUCCACAAAUCUAAUUUGCUGACGCAUUUUGCAGCAUGACAUCACACCGCGGCCUGGUCAUUAUUCGAACCGUUUUUCACAACCAGCCACUGCACAUAUCGCGAGGCGGUUUCCUUGGCACGUCUUGUCGAAGCAGAGAUCGUGUCCCCUUAUCACGGGAUUCUCAUCAAUACGGGUGUGGGUAACCCAACCGCACCAUCAAUUACGGCGCUUGGGGAAUAAGCGAGUUUACCAGGUAGGUGGGGAGGCGCAUAGCUUCUUCCGCCCUUAUAAAGGGACAAGGAUUCACCCUUUUCACCCAUGCCUUCUUCCUCCUUGCUCAUCCAUUCUUGCGCACUCGAGCUCUAGCACCCAAGUUCGCGUUUUUUCUCCUCAAACCACUCCAAGCAUGUCCGGAGCGGGAGGCAAGUGGAUGGUCUCCUCUGUUACGGAGGAGAACAUCACAAAGCUGCGGGGAGCCGGAUAUCUGGCCGCGGAUAUCGCACACCGGCUGCCUGAUGCGGGGCAGAUCAUCCCUACUCCAGAACCCCAUGAGAGGGUGGUUUUUCUUACCCACUUCGUCCGCGGACUGGGAUUUCCCCUCCACCCGUUUGUCCACGGGCUCAUGUUCUACUACGGGCUAGACUUUCACAAUCUGGCCCCCAAUUUCAUCCUCAACAUCUCGGUGUUUAUCGUCGUGUGCGAGGCCUUCCUCUGCAUCAAGCCCCACUUCGGCCUGUGGCUGAAGACCUUCAAUGUUAAGCCGAAGGUGGUGGUCGGCCAGCAAGUGGAGUGCGGAGGCGCCAUGGUGGGCAAAAUGCCCAACGUCACCUGGCUCGAAGGCUCCUAUGUGGAGACCAUAAAGGGGUGGCAAUCGGGGUGGUUCUACAUCACCGAGCCGCGCGACACCAACUAGGUGGCGGCCCCCGAAUUUGGAUCUGGAAUCGCCAUGCGGUUCACCUCCUGGAAAGAGAAGGGCCUGUCCUAGGGUUCCCCGGUAGAGCUGACCGGACUCCAGACAUGCAUCAAAAACAUGAUGAGCAAGAAAAUCAAGCUCGUCAACGUGGUCCAAGUCAUGCUCUUCCGCCGGAUCCUCCCGUGUCAAAGACGGGCAUUCAAUUUGUGGGAGUUUGACCCGCCGAGCACCAGACGCUACGAGAGCUCUUCGACACGAUGCACAAUGAUGUCUGGAAGGUGCUGUUCAAGGGCGCCGAGGUACCUCCUCCCCUCACCGAGGACCGCGGACUCAGCGCAAGGCGCCCUGCCAAUCCGGUAAGUCUUUUACAUCUCAUAAGAUGUUCAUUUCCCCGGUGUAACCACGCGCGGGAUCUAAGCCUCCACGCCAUUUAACAGGACUGGGUAGCGACAGCGGAGCAGAUCGAUUGUCCGGCUCCCCUGCCCGAAGAUCCAGCAGAUGCUCUCCUAACGGAGAUGCUGGUUCCGGCACCUUAUGAGGUGCCAGAGAAGAAGGCCAAGAAGAAGGCCAUGGGGACCAGGAAGGGUCUCCGGCGCAAGGUUAUAUCGGACUCAUCGUCCGAAAACACCGAGGCGCACUCCUCCCAUGAAAACAAGGAGGAGGAAGAGGAAAGUUCUCCUCCCCCAGCCGGGGGAGACAAGAAAAGGAAGGCCGCCCUGGCUGGGGCGGCCGAAGGGUCCAAGAAGGGAAGGACCCUCCUUCCGGACAACUCCACAACCGCCGCCUAUAGCGACGACGAGUGGCUGCCCAGGGAUAAGCCCCUGGCGAAGUCGUAAGUAUCCGAAUACCAUAGUAAUUCUGGUAUGUCUUACUAUACUGUUUCUUAUCACGUCGCGCAUGAUUAUGCAGCCCAUCCCGAGCCCACAUCGACGUAUCUUCGUCGGAUGAUUCUUUGGGCCCGUCGGAUAUGAACAGCGAUUCACUCCCGACCGCAUCCUCCCCCCGCCCUACGGACGACACCGAGGUGUUGUCUCAAAGGGGACUAAACCAAGGGGAGACAGUUCCAGAGGCACUUCAAGGCGACAUUCCAGGCGUACGAGGGGCAAGACUCCUCUGGGCUCUAACGCCGGGGGCAGCAAGUCUAGCCCCAAGCCGAAUACGGCGCCGGAACCUCCAGUGGUUCUGGAUUCUGUCAGGCAACCCCUCACUAAGGGGGCGAGCCGUCUGUGCCGAUGGUCUCUGUCCAUCCAGAGGCAUCGGACAACUUGCUGGAAGCGCUUCGCAACGCUUCCAUUGAUGAAGAGCACCGCACUAUCAUGAGUGCGGUGGUCAAGAAGGUUCAGUCUGCCAAAAGCGGAUUGACUGAAGCCUGUGCCAGCCUCCUAACAGGCUUUGAGGUAAGUAAUCAAAUUAUAAGAAAAUAUUCCGGCAUAGACAGUAGCCCCUGAUGCUCUGUUUGGCGUUCGCGAAGGAAGGCCGAAUAGAGGAUCAAAUAAUAAUCGCAGGAGUCUAAUCAUAAUAUGUCUAUGUGCUUAUGCAGGCUUCACUGCUGGCUGCUGCCGCACGUACUGCGGAGGUCGCCGCACUGAAGCGGGACCUUGAGCGGUCCAAGGAAGAGCUCGGCCUUACUAAGAGGCAGCUCGAAGAGAACAAAGGUAAGUGAUACCCCUGUCUGUAUAUUAUAAAAAAUAUUUGGUUUUUGAAUAAUAGGAUCGUCAUGAAUUUUGCUAGGGGCCACGACCGAAGUGGCGGCCCUGCAGAAGGCGCUAUCCCAGGGCGAAGAUAAAGCGGCCAAGGGGCGCAUCGAGCGAGAGAAACAAGAGGCCCGAGUAGGCGAGGUGCAGCAAGAGCUCCAGGCUCUCGUCAAGAAGCACGAGUCCUUGGAGCGUGACUCUAAGACGCAAGGGUCCGAGCUUGUGAAGGCCCUCGAAAGUGCACAACAUGCCAAGGCCGAAGACCAAAAGGCCCUCCAGGAAAUUGAGGCAGUUAAGAAGAUAGCAGCGGGUAAGGCAUUCAUUAUGCAAAGCAAGCAUGUGAAGGAAACUUUCUUUUUACUUACCCGAGUUCGGAGCUCUCCAGGAGCGUUCGCAGAUCUACCCCGCAGUGUGCCAGAUGCCGCGGAGUUCUAUCGGGCCGAGGAGGGGAGCUCGACGGAGAAGUUGUCCUGGUCUCAGUAUACUGGGAUCGAACACCCAAUGCCCUUGAGCGACCAGCUGAAGCAACUGGUCGAGCUCCACAAGGCGGCCGAACAGGCCAUGAAGGGUCUUAUAGUCCGGAUGUGGCCUGGCGAGCCCCUACCUGAUAGCUACUUUGGUCUGGUGAGGCAGCUUGUGAAUGCCUGCCCACGGCUUGAAGUCAUAAAGCGGUCCGUCUGCAUCGAGGGUGCGCGCAGGGCUUUUGCCCGGGCGAAGGUGCACUGGGCGAAGCUGGACGCCGAAAAGCUGGUGAAGGAGGGGCCGCCGGAGGGCAAGGAGCAUCGCCACCCCGAAAAGUAUUAUGAAAGUGUCUUGAAGGGUUCUCGCCUUGUGGCAAAGGAAUGUGCUAAGGAUGUAAUAUUUGAAUAAAUGUACUCAUGUGAUCCUGUAAUGUGAAACGAGUUCAUUUGCGCUCACUACAAAAAAAAUACACUUCCGUGAUGAUACGUGUUUGUCACAGUAGGUCGCGUUUUUUGUCAUGCAUGUACAUCCAUGACAAAUUUAUGACAGAAUCAAGAUAGUCAUACCUGUGCUGUUGUAGAAGUGUUCCAUGACAUUACCAAAAUUAUCAUCACGGAAGUGUCCACUUCCAUGACGAUAAAUCACGCGUCACAGAAGUGCUUUCGUCAAGGGUGACCGACACGUGGCAUCCACCAUAACGGAACACCGUUAAGCUAUCGGGUCGGGUUUUGGAUCCGAUAACCCGUUAAUAGCCCCGACCAAUGGGGAUUUUCCACGUGUAAAAUCAUCAUUGGCUGGAGGAAACACGUGUCGGCUCAUCGCUGGGACAGAUGUCAUCCACUCAUUGGACAGAAGGCGCCUAUGAUACGUCGACAUGUGGCACGACCCAACAGUGGCCCAUUCCUGUGAAAAGGCCGGCCCGUUUGGCUUGGUCAAAAGGUGGCGGGCCGGCCCAUGGAAAUGUUGGGGAAUGUAGUAAUUUAAAAAAAUUUCCUACGCACACGCAAGAUCAUGGUGAUGCAUAGCAACGAGAGGGGAGAGUGUUGUCCACGUACCCUCGUAGACCGAAAGCGGAAGCGUUAACACAACGCGGUUGAUGUAGUCGUACGUCUUCACGAUCCGACCGAUCAAGUACCGAACGCACGGCACCUCCGAGUUCAGCACACGUUCAGCUCGAUGACGUCCCUCGAACUCCGAUCCAGCCGAGUGUUGAGGGAGAGUUUCGUCAGCACGACGGCGUGGUGACGAUGAUGAUGUUCUACCGAUGCAGGGCUUCGCCUAAGCACCGCUACGAUAUUAUCGAGGUGUAAUAUGGUGGAGGGGGCACCGCACACGGCUAAGAGAUCAAUAGAUCAAUUGUUGUGUCUAUGGGGUGCCCCCCUGCCCCCGUAUAUAAAGGAGCAAGGGGGAGGCCGCCGGCCAAGGAGGAGGGCGCGCCAAGGGGGGAGUCCUACUCCCACCGGGAGUAGGACUCCUCCUUUCCUUGUUGGAAUAGGAGAAGGGAAGGGAGAAGGAGAAAGAAGGAAGGGGGCGCCCCCCUCCCUAGUACAAUUCGGACUAGUCCAUGGGGAGGGGUGCGGCCACCCUUUGGGGCCUUUCUCUCCUUUCCUGUAUGGCCCAUUAAGGCCCAAUACGAAUUCCCGUAACUCUCCGGUACUCCGAAAAAUACCCGAAUCACUCGGAACCUUUCCGAAGUCCGAAUAUAGUCGUCCAAUAUAUCGAUCUUUACGUCUCGGCCAUUUCGAGACUCCUCGUCAUGUUCCCGAUCUCAUCCGGGACUCCGAACUCCUUCGGUACAUCAAAAUACAUAAACUCAUAAUAAAACUGUCAUCGUAACGUUAAGCGUGCGGACCCUACGGGUUCGAGAACUAUGUAGACAUGACCGACACACCUCUCCGGUCAAUAACCAAUAGCGGAACCUGGAUGCUCAUAUUGGUUCCCACAUAUUCUACGAAGAUCUUUAUCGGUCAGACCGCAUAACAACAUACGUUGUUCCCUUUGUCAUCGGUAUGUUACUUGCCCGAGAUUCGAUCGUCGGUAUCUCAAUACCUAGUUCAAUCUCGUUACCGGCAAGUCUCUUUACUCGUUCCGUAAUACAUCAUCUCGCAACUAACUCAUUAGUCACAAUGUUUGCAAGGCUUAUAGUGAUGUGCAUUACCGAGUGGGCCCAGAGAUACUUCUCCGACAAUCGGAGUGACAAAUCCUAAUCUCGAAAUACGCCAACCCAACAAGUACCUUUGGAGACACCUGUAGAGCACCUUUAUAAUCACCCAGUUACGUUGUGACGUUUGGUAGCACACAAAGUGUUCCUCCGGUAAACGGGAGUUGCAUAAUCUCAUAGUCAUAGGAACAUGUAUAAGUCAUGAAGAAAGCAAUAGCAACAUACUAAACGAUCGAGUGCUAAGCUAACGGAAUGGGUCAAGUCAAUCACAUCAUUCUCCUAAUGAUAUGAUCCCAUUAAUCAAAUGACAACUCAUGUCUAUGGCUAGGAAACAUAACCAUCUUUGAUCAACGAGCUAGUCAAGUAGAGGCAUACUAGUGACACUUUGUUUGUCUAUGUAUUCACACAUGUAUCAUGUUUCCGGUUAAUACAAUUCUAGCAUGAAUAAUAAACAUUUAUCAUGAUAUAAGGAAAUAAAUAAUAACUUUAUUAUUGCCUCUAGGGCAUAUUUCCUUCAGUCUCCCACUUGCACUAGAGUCAAUAAUCUAGUUCACAUCGCCAUGUGAUUUAGCAUCAAUAAUUCACAUCACCAUGUGAUUAACACCCAUAGUUCACAUUGUCAUGUGACCAACACCCAAAGGGUUUACUAGAGUCAAUAAUCUAUUUCACAUCGCUAUGUGAUUAACACCCAAAGAGUACUACGGUGUGAUCAUGUUUUGCUUGUGAGAUAAUUUUAGUCAACGGGUCUGUCACAUUCAGAUCCGUAAGUAUUUUGCAAAUUUCUAUGUCUACAAUGCUCUGCACGGAGCUAAUUGCUCCCACUUUCAAUAUGUAUCUAGACUAAGACUUAGAGUCAUCUAGAUUAGUGUCAAAACUUGCAUCGACGUAACCCUUUACGACGAACCUUUUGUCACUCCCAUAAUCGAGGGACAUAUCCUUAUUCCACUAAGGAUAAUUUUGACCGCUGUCCAGUGAUCUACUCCUAGAUCACUAUUGUACUCCCUUGCCAAAAUCAGUGUAGGGUAUACAAUAGAUCUGGUACACAGCAUGGCAUACUUUAUAGAACCUAUGGCUAAGGCAUAGGGAAUGACUUUCAUUCUUUUUCUAUCUUCUGCCGUGGUCGGGCUUUGAGUCUUACUCAAUUUCACACCUUGUAACACAGGCAAGAACUCUUUCUUUGACUGUUCUAUUUUGAACUACUUCAAAAUCUUGUUAAGGUAUGUACUCAUUGAAAAAACUUAUCAAGCGUCUUGAUCUAUCUCUAUAGAUCUUGAUGCUCAAUAUGUAAGCAGCUUCACCGAGGUCUUUCUUUGAAAAACUCCUUUCAAACACUCCUUUAUGCUUUGCAGAAUAAUUCUACAUUAUUUCCGAUCAACAAUAUGUCAUUCACAUAUACGUAUCAGAAAUGCUGUAGUGCUCCCACUCACUUUCUUGUAAAUACAGGCUUCACCGCAAGUCUGUAUAAAACUAUAUCCUUUGAUCAACUUAUCAAAGCGUAUAUUCCAACUCCGAGAUGCUUGCACCAGUCCAUAGAUGGAUCGCUGGAGCUUGCAUAUUUUGUUAGUACUUUUAGGAUUGACAAAACCUCCUUGUUGCAUCAUAUACAACUCUUCUUUUAAUAAAUCCAUUAAGGAAUGCAGUUUUGUUUAUCCAUUUGCCAUAUUUCAUAAAAUGCGGCAAUUGCUAACAUGAUUCAGACAGACUUAAGCAUAAAUACGAGUGAGAAACUCUCAUCGUAGUCAACACCUUGAACUUGUCGAAAACCUUUUUGCGAUAAUUCUAGCUUUGUAGACAGUAACACUACUAUUCCUGUCUGUCUUCCUCUUGAAGAUCCAUUUAAUCUCAAUGGCUCGCCGAUCAUUGGGCAAGUCAAUCAAAGUCCAUACUUUGUUCUCAUAUAUGGAUCUCAUCUCAGAUUUCAUGGCCUCAAGCCAUUUCCCGGAAUCUGGGCUCAUCAUUGCUUCCUCAUAGUUCGUAGGUUCGUCAUGGUCAAAUAACAUGACCUCCAGAACAGGAUUACCGUACCACUCUGGUGUGGAUCUCACUCUGGUUUACCUACGAGGUUUGGUAGUAACUUGAUCUGAAGUUACAUGAUCAUCAUCAUUAACUUCCUCACUAAUUGGUGUAGGAGUCACAGGAACAGAUUUCUGUGAUGAACUACUUUCCAAUAAGGGAGCAGGUACAGUUACCUCAUCAAGUUCUACUUUCCUCCCACUCACUUCUUUCGAGAGAAACUCCUUCUCUAGAAAGGAUCCAUUCUUAGCAACGAAUGUCUUGCCUUCGGAUCUGUGAUAGAAGGUGUACCCAACUGUCUCCUUUGGGUAUCCUAUGAAGACACAUUUCUUCGAUUUGGGUUUGAGCUUAUCAGGAUGAAACCUUUUCACAUAAGCAUCGCAACCCCAAACUUUAAGAAACGACAACUUUGGUUUCUUGCCAAACCACAGUUCAUAAGAUGUCGUCUCAACGGAUUUAGAUGGUACCCUAUUUAACGUGAAUGCAACUGUCUCUAAUGCAUAACCCCAAAACGAUAGUGGUAGAUCGGUAAGAGACAUCAUAUAUCGCACCAUAUCUAAUAAAGUACGGUUACGAUGUUCGGACACACCAUUACACCGUGGUGUUCCAGGUGGCGUGAGUAGUGAAACUAUUUCACAUUGUUUUUAACUGAAGGCCAAACUCGUAACUCAAAUACUCUUCUCCAUUGUCAGAUCGUAGAAACUUUAUUUUCUUGUUACGAUGAUUUUCCGCUUCACUCUGAAAUUAUAUGAACUUUUCAAAUGUUUCAGACUUCUGUUUCAUUAAGUAGAUAUACCCAUAUCUGCUCAAAUCAUCUGUGAAGGUCAGAAAAUAAUGAUACCUGCUACGAGCCUCAAUAUUCAUCGGACCACAUACAUUUGUAUGUAUGAUUUCCAACAAAUCUGUUGCUCUUUCCAUAGUUCCGGAGAACGGCGUUUUAGUCAUCUUGCCCAUGAGGCACGGUUCGCAAGCAUCAAGUGAUUCCAAAAUCCCAUCAGUAUGGAGUUUCUUCAUGCGCUUUACACCAAUAUGACCUAAACGGCAGUGCCACAAAUAAGUUGCACUAUCAUUAUUAACUUUGCAUCUUUUGGCUUCAUUAUUAUGAAUAUGUGUAUCACUAUGAUCGAGAUCCAACAAACCAUUUUAUUGGGUGUAUGACCAUAGAAGGUUUUAUUCAUGUAAACAGGACAACAAUUAUUCUCUAAUUUAAAUGAAUAACCGUAUUGCAACAAACAUGAUCAAAUCAUAUUCAUGCUCAACGCAAACACCAAAUAACACUUAUUUAGUUUCAACACUAAUCCCAAAAGUAUAGGGAGUGUGCGAUGAUGAUCAUAUCAAUCUUGGAACUACUUCCAACACACAUCGUCACCUCGCCUUUUACUAGUCUCUGUUUAUUCUGCAACUCCCGUUUCGAGUUACUACUCUUAGCAACUGAAGCAGUAUCAAAUACCGAGGGGUUGCUAAAAACACUAGUAAAGUGCACAUCAAUAACAUGUAUAUCCAAUAUACCUUUGUUCACUUUGCCAUCCUUCUUAUCCACCAAAUACUUGGGGUAGUUCCGCUUCCAGUGACCAGUCCCUUUGCAGUAGAAGCACUUAGUCUCAGGCUUAGGACCAGACUUAGGCUUCUUCACUUGAGCAGCAACUUUCUUGCCAUUCUUCUUGAAGUUCCCCUUCUUCCCUUUGCCAUUUUCUUGAAACUAGUGUUCUCGUCAACCAUCAACACUUGAUGUUUUUCUUGAUUUCUACCUUCGUCGAUUUCAGCAUCACGAAGAGCUCGGGAAUUACUUUCGUCAUCCCUUGCAUACUAUAGUUCAUCACGAAGUUCUACUAACUUGGUGAUGGUGACUAGAGAAUUCUGUCAAUCACUAUUUUAUCUGGAAGAUUAACUCCCACUUGAUUCAAGCGAUUGUAGUACCCAAACAAUCUGAGCACAUGCUCACUGCUUGAGAUAUUCUCCUCCAUCUUUUAGCUAUAGAACUUGUUGGAGACUUCAUAUCUCUCAACUCGGGUAUUUGCUUGAAAUAUUAACUUCAACUUCUGGAACAUCUCAUAUGGUCCAUGACGUUCAAAACGUCUUUGAAGUCCCGAUUCUAAGCCGUUAAGCAUGGUGCACUAAACUAUCAAGCAGUCAUCAUAUUGAGCUAGCCAAACGUUCAUAACGUCUGCAUCUGCUCCUGCAAUAGGUCUGUCACCUAGUGGUGCAUCAAGGACAUAAUUCUUCUGUGCAGCAAUGAGGAUAAUCCUGAGAUCACGGAUCCAAUCCGCAUCUUUGCUACUAACAUCUUUCAACAUAAUUUUUCUCUAGGAACAUAUCAAAAUAAACACAGGGAAGCAACAACGCGAGCUAUUGAUCUACAACAUAAUUUGCAAAAUACUAUCAGGACUAAGUUCAUGAUAAAUUUAAGUUCAAUCAAUCAUAUUACUUAAGAACUCCCACUUAGAUAGACAUCCCUCUAAUCCUCUAAGUGAUCACGUGAUCCAUAUCAACUAAACCAUGUCCGAUCAUCACGUGAGAUGGAGUAGUUUCAAUGGUGAACAUCACUAUGUUGAUCAUAUCUACUAUAUGAUUCAUGCUCGACCUUGCGGUCUCCGUGUUCUGAGGCCAUAUCUGCAUAUGCUAGGCUCGUCAAGUUUAACCUGAGUAUUCUGCGUGUGCAACUAUUUUGCACCCGUUGUAUUUGAACGUAGAGCCUAUCACACCCGAUCAUCACGUGGUGUCUCAGCACGAAGAACUUUCGCAACGGUGCAUACUCAGGGAGAACACUUUUAUCUUGAAAUUUUAGUGAGAGAUCAUCUUAUAAUGCUACCGUCAAUCAAAGCAAGAUAAGAUGCAUAAAAGAUAAACAUCACAUGCAAUCAAUAUAAGUGAUAUGAUAUGGCCAUCAUCAUCUUGUGCUUGUGAUCUCCAUCUCAGAAGCACCGUCAUGAUCACCAUCGUCACCGGCGCGACACCUUGAUCUCCAUCGUAGCAUCGUUGUCGUCUCGCCAACUAUUGCUUUUACGACUAUCGCUACCGCUUAGUGAUAAAGUAAAACAAUUACAUGGCGAUUGCAUUGCAUACAAUAAAGCGACAACCAUAUGGCUCCUGCCAGUUGCCGAUAACUCGGUUACAAAACAUGAUCAUCUCAUACAAUAAAAUAUAGCAUCAUGUCUUGACCAUAUCACAUCACAACAUGCCCUACAAAAACAAGUUAGACGUCCUCUACUUUGUUGUUGCAAGUUUUACGUGGCUGCUACGGGCUUAGCAAGAACCUUUCUUACCUACGCAUCAAAACCACAAUGAUAGUUUGUCAAGUUGGUGCUGUUUUAACCUUCGCAAGGACCGGGCGUAGCCACACUCGGUUCAACUAAAGUGAGAGAGACAAACACCCGCCAAUCACCUUUAAGCAACGAGUGCUCGCAACGGUGAAACCAGUCUCGCGUAAGCGUACGCGUAAUGUCGGUCCGGGCCGCUUCAUCUCACAAUACCGCCGAACCAAAAUAUGACAUGCUGGCAAGCAGUAUGACUUAUAUCGCCCACAACUCACUUGUGUUCUACUCGUGCAUAUAACAUCAACGCAUAAAACCAGGCUCUGAUACCACUGUUGGGGAACGUAGUAAUUUCAAAAAAUUUCCUACGCACACGCAAGAUCAUGGUGAUGCAUAGCAACGAGAGGGGAGAGUGUUGUCCACGUACCCUCGUAGACCGAAAGCGGAAGCGUUAACACAACGCGGUUGAUGUAGUCGUACGUCUUCACGAUCCGACCGAUCAAGUACCGAACGCACGGCACCUCCGAGUUCAGCACAUGUUCAGCUCGAUGACGUCCCUCGAACUCUGAUCCAGCCGAGUGUUGAGGGAGAGUUUCGUCAGCACGACGGCGUGGUGACGAUGAUGAUGUUCUACCGACGCAGGGCUUCGCCUAAGCACCGCUACGAUAUUAUCGAGGUGUAAUAUGGUGGAGGGGGGCACCGCACACGGCUAAGAGAUCAAUAGAUCAAUUGUUGUGUCUAUGGGGUGCCCCCCUACCCCCGUAUAUAAAGGAGCAAGGGGGAGGCCGCCGGCCAAGGAGGAGGGCGCGCCAAGGGGGGAGUCCUACUCCCACCGGGAGUAGGACUCCUCCUUUCCUUGUUGGAAUAGGAGAAGGGAAGGGAGAAGGAGAAAGAAGGAAGGGGGCGCCCCCCUCCCUAGUCCAAUUCGGACUAGUCCAUGGGGAGGGGUGCGGCCACCCUUUGGGGCCUUUCUCUCCUUUCCCGUAUGGCCCAUUAAGGCCCAAUACGAAUUCCCGUAACUCUCCGGUACUCCGAAAAAUACCCGAAUCACUCGGAACCUUUCCGAAGUCCGAAUAUAGUCGUCCAAUAUAUCGAUCUUUACGUCUCGGCCAUUUUGAGACUCCUCGUCAUGUCCCCGAUCUCAUCCCGGACUCCUAACUCCUUCGGUACAUCAAAAUACAUAAACUCAUAAUAAAACUUUCAUCGUAACGUUAAGCGUGCGGACCCUACGGGUUCGAGAACUAUGUAGACAUGACCGAGACACCUCUCUGGUCAAUAACCAAAAGCGGAACCUGGACGCUCAUAUUGGUUCCCACAUAUUCUAUGAAGAUCUUUAUCGGUCAGACCGCAUAACAACAUACGUUGUUCCCUUUGUCAUCGGUAUGUUACUUGCCCGAGAUUCGAUCGUCGGUAUCUCAAUACCUAGUUCAAUCUCGUUACCGGCAAGUCUCUUUACUUGUUCCGUAAUACAUCAUCCUGCAACUAACUCAUUAGUCACAAUGCUUGCAAGGCUUAUAGUGAUGUGCAUUACCGAGUGGGCCCGGAGAUACCUCUCCGACAAUCGGAGUGACAAAUCCUAAUCUCAAAAUACGCCAACCCAACAGGUACCUUUGGAGACACCUGUAGAGCACCUUUAUAAUCACCCAGUUACGUUGUGACGUUUGGUAGCACACAAAGUGUUCCUCCGGUAAACGGGAGUUGCAUAAUCUCAUAGUCAUAGGAACAUGUAUAAGUCAUGAAGAAAGCAAUAGCAACAUACUAAAUGAUCGAGUGAUAAGCUAACGGAAUGGGUCAAGUCAAUCACAUCAUUCUCCUAAUGAUAUGAUCCCGUUAAUCAAAUGACAACUCAUGUCUAUGGCUAGGAAACAUAACCAUCUUUGAUCAACGAGCUAGUCAAGUAGAGGCAUAAUAGUGACACUCUGUUUGUCUAUGUAUUCACACAUGUAUCAUGUUUCCGGUUAAUACAAUUCUAGCAUGAAUAAUAAACAUUUAUCAUGAUAUAAGGAAAUAAAUAAUAACUUUAUUAUUGCCUCUAGGGCAUAUUUCCUUCAGGAAAGCCUGUUAACGGCCUGUUCGCAUAUAGCCCAUUUACAGCCCGCUAACCCAAGGCCCGUUAGGCCCUAUUCGAAUUAGCCCAGUAGCGUCAUCUGGGCCACCCAAUAUGAUUCUAGCCCGUUUUCACUUCUGGCCCAUGUAUGGCCCAUGACGUCUUUCGGCCCACAUGAGGCCCUAUGUAAGUCUUGGCCUAUUAACGGCCCGUGCUGAAACUGGCCCAUAAUGAACAGUGUAUUACUUUACACCCAUUAACGACCCGUGGUGAAACUGGCCCGUAAUGAAUAGUGUAUCACUUUAUACCCAUUAACGGCCCGUUAUUCCGUUGGGCCGUUUCCAGCCCAUGUUAUCUUUCGGCCUUCUCAGAGCCCAUUUAUUCUUCGUCUAUUUUCCAGCAUUCGUUUACUUACGGCCCGUUAGUGUCAUUUUCUGCUUGUGGGCCAAAUUCAGCCCGUCGUUACAGUCGGCCCGUUUGUGGUCCGCUAAUACGUUGGGCCGUUUUCAUAGCGUCAUCAAAUAUGGCCUAUUAACGACGGCCCGUUAUGGUCGGCCCAUGAAUGGACGAUACCAACUCUAGCCCGUUACGGCCAUAAUGCGGUCUGUUUGGCCCAUUUUUGGCCAAUCGAUCAUACGACCCGUAUAAGGCCCAUUGAUGAUACGACCCGUAGAAGGCCCAUUGUUUCUACGGCCCGUAGAAGGCCCACUGUUUCUACGGCCCGUAGAAGGCCCACUGUUUAUACGGCCCGUAGAAGGCCCACUGUUUCUACGGCCCAUAGGAGGCCCAGUGUCACUACAGUAAGUAUUAGCCCAUGGUUAUUGUGGCCUAGUUUUUAAAAAUAGGUUAUUGCAGCCACUAGCAAACCGCAGAAAAAGAACUGCACUGACUACAAGCAAACAAAUAAACAAGACAACAAGGAAAUAAAUAAGCAAGCAACUUACACUAGGCUAUCACGGCUAUUACACAUAUUACAUCCACUGGGCAUCAAAGUUCGCCACAAGUGCAAAUAUAGGGAACACAGCAGCAUAUAAACGCCGCAGCAAAACAAGUCCAGAACUGAAACCACUUCAGAAGAGCUCAAGAAACAAUAUCCUGGGUACCCAUAAUGCUGGCAAGAUGCUUAGCAAGCUUAUUAACUUUCUCUUGUUUGGCGCUUAAGUCCUCCAGCGCUUGCUGUUGCACGAGAAAGUAUGCAUCUGAAUUCUGCAGGGACUUCCUCAGUCCUUCGGCUUCCUGUCGCAUAACAUCUGAUCGAUGUCUUUCAACUUGAAGUUGAGACUCAAGAAGCCGAACUGAUUCAGGCAACGAGUUCGAAGAGCUGGUGCCAACAGUGGUAGCCAGUAACUCGAACACUACAUCAAGACAGUUCUUCGGGGUUGUUUCAGUGUUUUCAAUAUAUCUUUUAUCAGCUUUCUUGGAGACCAACAGGGAUGUCUCACUAUCUUGAACCUUAUCUGCAUUACUUCCUUUACCAUUGCAUAACAGGGUACUCUUCUCCAAUAUUUUAUCCGCGUUCUAAAAGAGAAACAAACAAACACAUCUCAGGUUUACAAUGUAGUAUAUGAAACUCAUUUUGGUAAACGAGUUCAGUAGUAAGGUGGACAGGAUAACAGGAUGAAACAAACAUAUAUCUAUGUAGUAUGGUCACUGUAUGGUCUAUAUCAUUCUAGUUUAUGUUGCCAAAUCAAGAUAGAUACAGUUUGAAUCAUAUCUAUUUAAGACAAAGCAGCAUAGACAGAAUAUAAGUGUGGGAAACUACACAGCAAUAACAACACUUGUAAUGUGCAUGGCAUGAGAACAUAACUGUUUAUUCAAUUGAAACUGAAAUCAACAUAGAGCAAGUUACAACAGCAAACAGCCAAACGCGUUGAAGAAACAGGUUUAAAACAUACCUGUUGCGCCAUUGGAGUUUCAAUUGCAUCCUUCAAAUUUGAAAUUAGUUGGUAUCAGUAAAUACAGUGAUGCAAGAGCAAAGUAGUAUGAACCAUAGCUAUGGAACCUGAUCUGAGAACAAUUCUUCUUCUGCUUUAAGCGUUGACUUCGGGUUCGGAGUGGUGGUCCUCGUGAUUUGGGCACUGCAGUUGCCUUACUAACUGCUCGUGUUUGGGUGCUCUGUGGUGGAGACGGUGCUGUGUCAAUGGGAACUGGGUGUCUAUCUACUGGGGUUGGGGUUAGAAGGGGUGUAGCUGGUUCUCUGUCCAACUGGGUAGGGGUACAAUCUGCAUGAGUGUGGGUUAUGUGUGGUGGGGCUGGUUCUUGGGCAAGUACAACCGUGGUUCUACUUGCAUCGACAGGUAGCACGAUCUUUUCUGAAGACCGUGUUUUUACUCCCACAGAUACUGCCAUCACUCCCUCCAAUUGAAAUGGCUGAUAAACAAGAAAAGUAAUUGAAUGUACAGACAUUGUAAGAUAGACAGGUGCAAUGGAUAGUAGGGAAGAAAACAGGGCAUGAAAUAAUUCACAUUUAUGUUGUCUAAGAAAACAGAAUAGCAGGACAUAAUUUCAAAUAUAUGAUGGCUAAUUAAACAGGAUAGCAUGACACAAUUUCACAUCUAUGAUGGCUAACUAAAUAGGAUAGAAUGACAUACUUCAAAAUAUGAUGACUAUGUAAACAGGAUAACAUGAUAUAACUAUACGAUGUGUCUAUUAAAGUGGUUGGCAUGCCAUAAAUCAGAAACAUGCCGUCGAUGGAAACAUGAUGGCAUGAUAUAAUUCACGGAUAGAAUGACAUAAUUUAAAAUAUUAUGACUAUGUAAACAGGAUGAGAUGAUAUAACUAUAUUAUGUCUUUAGAAAAUGGGUUGGCAUGCCAUAAUUCAGAUACAUGCUAUCUAUGUAAACAUCAUGGCAUGACAUAAUUCAAAUAUAUGAUUUAUAUACUAAGGAAGUGAGCAGAGGGCAAUCGCAUAUAUGAUGUGUCAACUAAGGAGAUGGCAUUCAAUAUUGUGUAUAUGAUGUAAAAACUAAGCAUUGCAAUACAAUAUAUGCAUUAUAUGAGUAAUAUAACCCUGCCAAGUUUGAGCAUACACCUUAGAGGGAUAAUAGGACUGGUCAUCUGCCUCUGAAUCCUCCUCUGAAGAGCUAUCUGUAACCAACAAGAUAUCUGCUUUAGCAGGUAGCAUUGUCUGCUCUGAAGACCUUGUUUUCACUCCAGAUUUCUCCAUCACCAAUUCAAAUGGCUGAUGCACAGGAAGAGCAGUUGAAUAUACAAACAUUGUCGACAAAAGCAAUGAGAAAUACAAAAAAGGACGGCAUGAUAUAAUUCACAUAUAUGACGCUUGCCUAAACAGCAUGGCAUUGCAUAAUUCACAUACAUAAUGCCUUGCAACAAGAUAACAUUGCAUAAUUCACAUAUAUAAUGUCUUGCAACAAGAUGGCAUUGCAUAAUUCACAUAUAUGGUAAUUAGACACUAAACAGGUGGCAUUCACACAAAGCAUGUCUAAACUAAGCAAAUGACAUAGCAAUGCAAGAUACCAUAUGCACGAUAUGAGCAACAUAACCCUGCCAAGUUAGGGCAUGCACCUCGGGGGGGGGGAUAUGACUGCUCAUCUGUCUCUGAAUCCUCCUCUGAAGAGCUAUCGGUAACCAGCAAGACAUGCGCUUCGUCAGAUAGCAUUGUCUACUCUGAAGACCUUGUUUCCACUCCAGAUUUUUCCAUGACCGUGCCAAAUGGCUGAUGCACAGGAAGAGUAAUUGAAUGUACUAAAAUUGUUGACAAAUUUAACACGUAAUAAAAAAAUGGUGGCAUGAUAUAAUUCACAUAUAAGAUGACUGGCUAACCAGGGUGGCAUUGCAAAAUUCACAUAUAUGAUGCCUGGCUAGACAAGAUGGCAUUGCAUGAUUCACAUAUACGAUAAAGAAACUAAACAGAUGGCAUUGACACAAAGCAUGUCUAAACUAAGCAGAUGACAUCUUUAAUGUAUAUAGUAAGCAAUGCAAGGCACCAUAUGCAUGAUAUUACCAACAUCAGCAUGCCAAGUUAGAGCGAAGACCUCAUGGGGUAAAUAGGAGUGGUCUUCUCCUUCUGAAUCCCCCACAGAACAGUUAUCUUCCUCUUGAUUACGAUCUAAAAUGGGCGGAGGGGGGGGCUGCCUUUGCGCCCAACAUGGAACGACGUCUGCAUGAAAUUUUAUUGCCACGCAAGGCUCGUCUCUUUUGCUCUACAUGAUCAGUUCCAUUGUGUACAAUAACUGGCAUGCAUAGGAAUAAAACAUAGUGAGAUUAUGUAAGGAGUGCAUGCACAAAUCCAGAGUGAUGGUAGCAAACUAUGGAUAGACCCAAAACUAAUCAUAGCAGGCAGAUAAUAGCUUUAGUUAAAAAAUACAGAUAAUGACUCCUUUAAUGUUUGUUUGCACCCAACAUGAAACUCAUAGUAGACACCAGAGGUUAACCAGAUAGUAGACAGAUAGUACUGAUUGCUGCCCCAAUAUGUACCCCACAACCAUUUAAAAACUCAAGUUUCAGCAUUAGUUUGGACCUGACUCGGAGUCUAAUAGGUGAACACGAUGAUAAUGUAGCAUGUCAUCAUAUUAAGCGACGCAUAGUGUAAGCAGACACGGAAGAGUGCGACCUCUCUUGCGGGCCCGUGUAGUCCUCAAGGUCAUCUGCUCAGUUGAUGAUGGUAAUGCAGUUGCCGUGGCUGCUGGCGGCGGGGAAGAAGAUCUGAGGCGGUGAAAGACAGUCUUGAGAGCGGAUCCCUGCUGUGGUGAACCCUUCCGUCGUUGGAGCAGCUGAGCUGGGGUGGAACACAGCGCCGCAGGAGCAGGACAAACCACAUAAGGUUUUCUUUGACACAUAUCUCUAACAGAAGUAAUUGAGUAAGGGCUUGUUUGAAUUCGAGGAUUCUAACAAUGCAGGGAUAGGAAAUAGACCGGAAUAGGAUAGGAAUGCACGUUUAAAACAGAGAAUUUAAAAACACAGGAUUUCUGCCAAUCUGGGUGUUUGAUUCACAACAAUUGGAAGAUCACAGGAUGCAAAAAAGCAUGGUGAGAUUUAGUCAAACCACAAGAAAAUGUACGGUUAUAAUUCUAUUAUGCUACUAUCUCUUAGUCUCGUGCUUGAUGAAUAGGAAUAUGAAAAGGAGGAGAAGUGGAAAUUAGAAUUCCUACGGUUUUUCUUUCAAGGAGACACUAAAGGAACAAAUCCUACAGUUUUCCUUUGCUCCAUUCCUUUGCACAAAAUUCAUGAAAAGUAGUACCAUAGGAAACUUUCCAAUUCUGAUGUUUUUCAUUCACUUUUCCUUUCAAGCACUGGAGAUUCUAGUAGGCAGGCUUGAGCAAGGAAAAUCCUACACUAAAAAAUGUUUUUGUGCUACUUCUAUUACUUUGGACCCAGGCCACUGCCAUACUAGCUCAACUCCCAGGCCCAUCGACAAAUGCACAGCUCAAACGCGCAGAGAUAAAUAAUGAUGGCGUCAAGAGAGUCCAUCACGGAUAGCUAAGUUGCUUGGUACCUCACUGCUUGUCAUAUAGUAGGAUAAAAUAAUCGUAUUUCCCGUUACUACGAGUGCUCAGUGGACAAUAUAUAUAACAUGUAGAGUAAAAAAGAGAUGCAACAAGUGUACAACCUCUUUGGCGAAGCCAUGUCGAUCUCAGCAUGAUUGGGUUGGCCAGUGAGGAUGCUCCGGCUGACUUGGCUGUCGGAGGAGGGAAAGAAGAUCUUAGGCGUCUGGAGAUGGAGCCCGAGGUACUGCUCCGCUGUGAUGGAGGGUUCCGUCGUUGGAGCAGCUCCAGUGAGUUGUACGAUGCCGAGGCUGAAGCAGGACAAGAGAGACAACGAACAACGUUAACCUGAGUGGAAUUCUAAUAGCAUCUCCAAUACAUGACGUAAAAUACAUAACCACAAAGUGCUAGAUGUAAAAUACAUCAGCCACUCAUGAAGGCACACACCCACACACAUCCCCCUCUCCAUCAUAUCGGGCAUUCUUUAUCUCUCACACGUGCAUGCGCAAUGAUCGAUGUUCCUCUAUGUAUGUGUGUAUAUAGCUAGGUCUUUCAUAGUUUUCCACACAAACCGAUGAAUCGAUAUAUCUAGUGAGGUCUCACCCUCUUUCCCACGUCCACAUCGAUCAAUCUAUACCUCUCUAUAUAGGAUUAACAUAUAUAGCUAAUACACCCACAUUAAUUAUAUAUCCAACAUCCCCCUCUCAUCAUCCAUGCUUUCCGCUUCAUCUCUCAGACGCGUGCACAAUGGCGAAGACAGGGGGCAGUAAGGGCCCUGCCCCCUCCCCCCUAACAUCACUAUAUAUCGAGGCUAAUAUGAAUGUGAUCAUUAGACAAUUGCUGCUAAAAAUGGUUUAAGUUCAUGAAUUGACCCUCCUCGUAAAGGAUUAGCAAUGCUUGGCCCCCUAGCUCAUUUAUUUUUCAUGGCUCCUCCCACUACAAAAAAAAGACACAUCCGUGACAUUUUGGGCCAAACGAAUUUUUUUUCUGUCAUACAUAUGACACUUCUAUGACGAUAAUUGUGACAAAACCCGGUAUCAUCAUAGAUGUGGUGGGAUCCUACUUCUAUGACAAAAAAUCAUGACAGAAAAUGGGCUUUUCGUCCUGGGCGGGCCGGAGACGCAGCUGCAUGCCAUUCUUUGGGCCGUCCAUGACGGAAAAAACCGUGGUAGAAGCGAGGGCGAGGAAAAUUUCGGGGAGUUCCCAGUUACGGUGGGAGGUCGGGGGCCGAGCGAUGCGUGUUUCUCUUGUACACGUACGCGCGUGUGUGCGAGGCGUUGGCUCUAACUGAACCUGAGCGAGGCGUUGGGCUCUAACUGAACCCGAGCGAUUGCACUGCAGGCUACGCGUUACUGAACCCGAGCGAUCGAUCGAUGGCUGUUAACUGAACUCGAUCGAGCGAUUCCUUCGCUACUGCUGCUAACUGAAGCUGAUCGAUGCUGCCUCUGGAUGAACAGUGUGCGUUGCUGGGGGGUUUGGAUGAACAGUUCCCGGUGGGGGUGGAUGAACAGGACCCCGUGGUGUUGCCUCUAGAUGAAUAGGACCCCGAUCGAUCGAGCCGGUUGGGGCUGGAUGAACAGGACCCCGUGGAGGGCAGGAUGAACAGGACCACCCCGUGGAGGGAAGAAUGAACAGUAGACGGCGGAGGGCUAGAUGAACAGUAGCCCGUGGAGGGGUGGUUGAACAUGAGCCCGUGGAGAGGGAUGGUUGAACAGUAGCCGGUGGAGUAGCGCGUGGUGGAGGCUGGAUGAACAGGAGCCCAUGGAUGAACAGUCGCAGGUGGAGGCUGGAGGAGGUCGACGGUGGAUGAACAGUAGCCCGUGGAGGCUGGAGGGGGUCAACGAUGGAGAUGAACAAUGUCCCGUGGAGUCCCGUUUUGCGGUACGCCACACCCCUCCCGAUGAACAGGGCCCCUGUUUCGACCGUAGCGCUCCAACGCAAGUCCGUUUCCUCCGUUUUGCGGUACAACACACCCCUCCCGAUCAACAGGACCCCCGUUUCGACCGUAGGAGGUCCGUUUCCUCCGUUUUGCGGUAUGCCAGACCCCUCCCGAUGAACAAGAUCCCGUUUCAAACGUGGCCGGUCGAACACAAGGCCGUUUCCUCCGUUCUGCGAUACACCAGGCCUCGUUUCCAUCGACUGUUCCGUCCAAGCCCUCCCGAUGAACACGACGAGGCAUUCCGUUCCGACCUAGCCGGUUGGCUCCCACGCGUUCCGUUGCCUCCUGAUGAACACGACGCAUUCCGUUGCCUCCCCAUGAACACGAUGCAUUGUGUUGCCUCCCCAUGAACACGACGACGAUGCUGUUUCUCCGUUCCGACCCAGCCAUGUACAUGAGCCCUGCCGUACGUAUGCGCGAGUAGGCAUUCGAGACCCCGCCCGUAUGUACACAUACGUGGCCGUAUUUUCUUUCUUGCACCCUAGCCGUUGUACGUACGAGUACAUGCUACGUGCGUGCCUCUACUACGACACGUACGCGCCUCUACUACGACACGUGCGCGCCUCUACAUCCACCAGUAUAUAUGUACGUACACGUUCGCGACCAGAAUGACAACGCUACGUACCCUUCGACCAGGUGGGUCCCGACUGUCAGGCACUUCCUUGCCUGCGAAGAUGUAGCUGGUGGGUCCCAGCAGUCAGGGGGGCGAAUCGUUUUUUUUUGCCCGGACGCACUUCCUUGCGUGCGAAGAUGUAGCUGGUGGGUCCCAGCAGUCAAGGGCAAACGUUUUUUUUCACAAAAUACAGUGGCCCGUCCGGUGGGUCCCAGCUGUCAGGUGGAGGAAUAAUUAUUUUGCACAAUAAGGAGGCACUUCCUUGCUGUGGUCGUGGACCCAGCUGUCAGCCUCUCCACAUACAGUCCACGUCCGAUGGAAGCCGUUCCUUGACCACGUUGACCACGCCGCGCCGAGAGCACCAGGGCGGUGGACGAUGGCGAGGCCUAGGAAGGGGACGACGCGGAGCCGGGGAAGACGCGGCAGUGGAUGCCCACGCGUAGAGGAGUACGAGGGUUCACUGGUUCGCUGUGGUGUGAGGCUGCCGUCACCGCAGAAUAACAGGGGGUGUGGUUGAGUAGAGGGAUGGCCUGGCCAGCGGUGGGAGUAGUAGGAGGCAGUGAGGCCUCUGCCGCAUCGCAGACGGUCACGGGAGGCAUGAGCACGAGGCACGACCGGCGCUGGUUUGGGCGGCUGGAGCAAGAAGACCAGAGGUUGAAGAAGCACUACGGCCAUUGGAUGGACAUCGUACGGUCACUGGAGCUAGAAUCGUGCAUAUUGAAUAAGUUGACACAACCCUCCGUCCCCGUCAACUUAGUAGGCCCACAAGUCAGCCUGCCACUAUACUGGGUCCCAGCUAACAGGGGGAGUAUUCUUUUUUUGUGCAUAAUAAGGAGGCACUUCCUUGCGUGCGAAGAUAUAGCUGGUGGGUCCGAGCUGUCAGCGGCGGUAACAUUUUUUUCACGAAAUACAGAGGCCCUUUCGGUGGCUCCCUGAUGUCAGGUGGAGGAAUCAUUAUUUUGCGCGUAAUAAGGAGGCAUUUCCUUGCGUGCGGCCAUGGACCUAGCUGUCGGCCUCUCCACGUACAGUCCACUUCAGAUGCAUGUCGGUCGUUGACCACGUUGACCAGGCCACGCCGAGAGCACCAGGGCGGUGGACGACGGCGAGGCCUAGGAAGGGAACGACAUGUAGGCAGGGAAGACUCGGUAGUUGUUUCCCACGCGGAGGGGAGUACGACUGUACGAGGGUUUACUGGUUCGUCUGCCGUCGCCGGAGAAUAACAACAGGUGUGGGUGAGUAGAGGGAUGGCUAGGCCAGCGAUGGGAGUACGGUCGAGCGGUGAUGCCUGCGCGGCAGCACAGCCGGCCGCGGGGAGGAGGGAGCAGGCAGUCCCGCCGGCGCUUGUUUGAGUGGCUGGAGCAAGAAGAGAGAGAUUGAAGAAGCACGGCGGCCGUUCGAUGGACAUCCAACAGUCACUGCUUGUGCGUCAACCCUUUUUUAGGAAAGCCUCAAAUCUAUGGAAAACAACAUACAACCCAUCUGCCAUUAUUUCUAAUAAUUUACAGCCCAUUUGCUAAUUCUUAAGGUUUUUUUGGAGCCCAUAUUCUUUUUGUUAGCAUUAUAGCCCAUAUUGUGGCCACGGUUAAAAAAUUAUACGAAAUUUUGCAUAUUUCGGUGCGGUCCGAACUGUUUUUAAUCCCGAAAUUUCAACUCACAUUCAAACUGAUUUUAAAAAUAAAUGUAUAUAAAUAUAAAAUCCAACAAAUUCUCCACGCAUAAAAAUUAAUGUAAUUUAAAAUCUCAAAAUGAAAAAAAAGAUAUUUGAAACUAAUUGCCGGUUUGAUGUGUUUUAAAAAUGAACAACCCAUUUCUCAUUACUGAUAGGCCAUUUUCUCGGCCAGCCGAAUGAAGCUCUCCUCGUCUUGAAAGAUUUGCAGCCCAACAGGCCUGACAAAGCGACUUACUUGGCAAAUCACAAAAAACUGGGCUGUGGCCGUGGACCCAGCUGUCAACCUCUCCACGUACAGUACUCUUCCGAUGGAAGUCGGUCGUUGACCACAUUAACCACGCCGCGCCGAGAGCACCAAGGCCGUGGACGACGGCGAGGCCUAGGAAGGGGACGAGCGGAGCCAGGGGAGAGGCGGCAGUGGAUGCCCACGCGGAGAGGAGUACGAGGGUUCACUGGUUCGGCUGCGGCGUGAGGCUGCCGUCGCCGCAGAAUAACAGGGGGUGUGGGUGAGUAGAGGGAUACCCUGGGCCAGCGGUGGGAGUAGUAGGGGGCGGUGAGGCAUCCGCCGCAUCGCAGACGGCCACGGGAGGCAGGAGCACGAGGCACGACCGGCGCUGGUUUGGGCGGCUGGAGCAAGAAGACCAGAGGUUGAAGAAGCACUACGGCCGUUGGAUGGACAUCGUACGGUCACUGGAGCUAGAAUCGUGCAUAUUGACUAAGUUGACACAACCCUCCGUCCCCGUCAACUUAGUAAUGAAAACUGUGUAAUGUAUAAUGAUAGGGAGAGUGUGACACUUCUCAAGGGAGACGUCGAGAGACCAUGUUUGCGAGGAUAGGAGAAACAUGAAGUGAGCGUGCGGGUGAGCUGGAGAAAAGAGAGUGAUAGCUACCUGAAGGAGCAUGCAUGCGAGAGAGAUGGGCGUGAAAGGAGUGAACAAAAAAGGGAUUCAAAUAUUUGAAUUCGAGAUGAUGAUACAUGUAAUCCAUACUCGAACCAAAAUUGAUCUAUCAAACAUGCAUACUCAUAUGAAUUCACGCACAUCUAUGUUAUUUAAUAUGUAGAUAUUACUGGUCCUUACAUUUUAGUAGAACAUAAUUUGGUUAAAUUUUUUCGAAUUCAACCUUAAGAUUUCGAGAUCGUUGUAUUUGUAAAUCAUAUUAUACAUAUAAAGGAGCAGAAUUCUUUGUUGUGCUUUUGAAAGUAUAUAUAAAAAAAUGAUGUAUAUAGAAUGUAAUUCCAAUUGAAAAUGGAUCCCGCCCAAAAAAAUAGAAUACAAACGGGAUUCGAAUUGAGUUGGCACGGUAAACGUGCACUCUGCAAAAUUUGAACGAAGCGGGGAAAGUCGCAGUAACCGCCCGACCAAAAUCUGCGAGAUGGAAAUCACUACUGCCUAUCCCUGCCACGCAAAGCCUAUCUGCUGGAUUUCUAUAGGUUUCGAUAGGGGUAGGUUUGUAAUUUCACCCAAACGUGACGUAACCGCCUCUCACCCGGAUUCAUACACGGUGGGUGCCAAAACACAGUGUGUCCUCGGCCGAAAUCGACCCCCGCCACGAUUCAUAUUCAUACAUGGUGGGCGCUAAAAACAAACUCUCGUCGGCAAAUAUUCAGUGUAUGCGAGAUUACCGUCCUAUCCCCAACCGACUAAUGUUGCUGUGAUGUAGUAGAAAUUUGAAACGGGGGCUAAGUUUGUAAAUUUCGUUGCAUUUGAGACAAGAGCGCCCUGAAUACAUGGUUCCCCCUUCCUCUCUACCUCCCUUUUCCCCAUUCGUACUCCGUGGGCGCCAAAACACCCUCUCCACCCCACCCUCCUCCGUCCGCCGCCGUCCGCCACCCCAUCCACCGCCGUCCUCCUCCACCAUGCCGGAGCUGAUACCCCGACGCUGCCGUCCAUUACAAGAGAUCGACCUCUCUCAUAGACGGCUUCGGACCGGGAUCCUUGCAUCCCGUCCUCUCGCUUCAUCCCCGCCGUCGUCCACCUUGCCGGCGCCGCUCCUACGACCGUCUCGUCCACCGCCUACCCUCCUAGAUCUGCUUCCACGCCGCCGCCAGCCAUCGCUACCACAACACCGUCAAAUUCUCAGCAGAUGCGUACACGGCGCCACACCAAAGGCAGUACUCUUUCGUAUCUGCUCAACUUAUUUAUCGCAGCAAGAAAAUAGAUCGCCACUGCUUUACUCUGAUUUCUUGUCUUGGUUGCGAAGUUGCCUUUGUCCGGUUUGCACCUUCAGAUCCGCCAUGGCACGCUCAACACUAUACUGCCAAUGCUUAUGGUUUUCCCUUUUAUAUUCCACACUAGUUAAAUCACAGUAGACUAAAUUUCAAAAUUGGGUCAGUCGAUUUUUCAGAGCUCGCCGGAGUUCACCGGUGCGAUCGAAGGGGCUCGGGUGGUUGUGGGGCCUCGCCGAACGAAGAAAACUUGACGCGGGUGGGGGUUGGGGCGGGGGUGGGGGUGGGGUGGCGGAGGAACACAGGCGGUGGGGGCCGGUGGUCCGGCCGGCGGCCCGUGCGGUGUUCUGUAUGGGAAGAAUCAGAGACGAGGAAGAAAAAGGGUUAGGAGACGUAGGAUCUUCAUCCAACCGCCUGAAAUGGUCGAGAGACAGCUGGGAGUUGCAUUCUUAAUGCGCUCUGGUUCAUCAUGUGUGGGCACUUCGCAACCAACAUUUUAUUAUCCGAAAUCUGCUUGCUCUUCUUUACCAUGUUCCUCUUCCGUUCUUCUUUAAUAUGUACUCUCUCCAUUCCAAAAUACAAGUCUUUGCAUAGAUUCCACCAUGGACUACAUAUGGAGCAAAAUGAGUGAAUCUACACUCUAAAAUGUAUCUGGAUACAUCUGUAUGUGAUCCAUAGUGGAAAUCUUUACCAAGACUUAUAUUUUGGAACGGAGGGAGUAUGAUAGUAGUACAGUAUGUUCCUUGUACUGAAGAUGAGCAGGGACAUUUGCAGUGUAGAGGUCUAUACGGUCGGUUGUGAUGGACACUUUGAGCCUCUUUGAUUCGUAGGAUCUUGUAAACAUAGGAAUAGGAUUUGUAGUGGCCUGCCCACUUGAAUCCUAUAAGAAUAGCAAGGAAAUGCGGGGAGCUGUGUCGCCUUUGAGAGUUACACUGAUAUUAACAGUACCGCACCUUCACUUGAAGAGAGCUGGUAUCCGAAGCCUUUCUAGCCGUACCGGCAAUACUAGCACAUAUAUUCCAGCAAGUUCCACUUUGCUGAUUUUACACUGAUGCUUAAGGUUUUCCCGUUAUAUCUACACUAUGAUCUGUGUAGCUGCUUUGUGUCGCACUAGCAGCAGUCCACUCUUGAAGCUAAACACUGCAAUGACUUACAAAAUUGGCACCAAGGCAUUGAGUGCCAUUCUGGAUGCAAUGAAACUCAUACGCUCCCCACCUGUUGAUUCUUGUUCAGAAUAUGAUCCUAAUGACUAUUCUAACCUCGAGGAGUCAAAGGCAGAUGGCCUGUCCUGUUCACCCAUCAAGGUGCCUGUUCUAAUUUGGCAAUGUUUUAUUAAUUGCGGGUAUCUUGCAUAUGUUGUCUUGCAUUUCUUCUACUUUGUUGCACCGCCAUCUGCUUAGUUUACUCAUCAUAUAUGUCGAGAUGCCAUAACCAUCCAUUAUCAAUACAUAUUCCAUCUGUCAUCAUACCAUGUUUUUCCACUCAAAUGUUGUUCUUGUGCAUCAGACAUCAAAAAGGAAGAGGGUGAUUGCUGAACCUGAAGGAGCACCAGAAAAGUCCUUGAAAAACAUGGUGGUGCCGGAGAAAUCAGACAGCACCCCACUUAUAUUGGUUUUACAACCAGUGACACAAAACGUAGGACCGACUCCAGCAGACUCUACCCAUACUUCACUGGCCACACCAUUAGCCCCACCACACAGGACCUGCACUCCAGCAAAAGGUAUACCGAUUUCAUUUGCCAUAGCACCAGCUGUACCACAGAAAAAUCCCACUCCAGCAAAAAGUACAGCAAGUCCACCGGCCGAAGACCUAUCCCAACUACAGAGACGGCCAAUUCCUGCAGAUUGGAACCCCAUUCCAUUUAUUCCCAGUUUAAAAGACAAAGCUUUCAAUGUUGUUAGGGACUACGUGCAUAUAUUCCCAUCAUGGGAAGAUUAUUGUGAAGACAAACACCAUUUUCACAUCUUCCUGUCCAACUUACGUGUAAGUGCUAUUAUUCAUGGUUAUUAUUUUCCUGUUUUCUGCUGAUUGAACACAUCAAUGUUUACAUUACAUUGUUGUUACUAGGCGAGGGUCAAUCUGGAUAGUCAUGACAAGCAAAGCUUGGUUGUGCUUUUCAAGGAGGCAUUGCAGCAGUAUCGGUGUUACCUGAGGAAAUCACACUUUGAUGGCAAGUCUAUAAACGAAUUUCCGGUGAAGUCUCCUGUCUAUGAAAUCACAUGACAAUUUGAAUUUCUACUUUUCCGCAUGUGCCUUACGGAUCUUUUUUGCAGGAAAUCUGCUCGAAGAAGAAUUCCGGUUUGACAAUAACGACAUGAUAUCGCAAAUAUGCUGCCCGCUGCUUUGCUCUUGUUAGUACCUGUUGUCAUGUAUCACUGUACUUGCAUACAUACCUGGUUCAUUAUCUGACAACAUUAUGCAUGAUAGCUUGCUUAUCAAUUGUUCGCUCCAAAUUAUCUGAUCUGUAUGAAUGGUUACAUUAGUGUAGAAUAUAUCCAAUGCCAAUGUUUUUAGCUCUGCAUUGUUCUUGUAAGUACAUGCUGUCCUUUAUCAGUGUACUUAUAAUGACAGGUAGUUGUUCAUGUACCAUCACUCUGCAGCUUAUUUUCCUUUGCCCUCCAUUUUCUACACAUCAGAUCUAUAUUUACUCUUACCAUAAGGUUGGUACUGAAGAAGUUUAGUUGUGCAUUGAUCUUGGCUGUACCUUUUGCAUGUAUCGCUGCACUUACAUUUAUAGCUACUUGGUUAUGUAGCAUCACUCUUCAUCUUAUCUUAAAUAUUCUCCAUUUUUUCGUAUAUUAUCACAUCUAUAUUUACUCUUAACAAAAUGUAGAAUAAAUGCAAUGGUUUUGAAGAAGAUUAUGUGGUAAACUUCUUGAAUCCCCCCCAUCAGCAUGGACAAGGCCUUUAUAGAGCCUGUCUUCACCAAUAAUGUAAGUUUGUCCAUCUCAAGCCUUCAAACUUUGUUGUAUAUAUUUGGUUAAGCAUGACUGCAAUAGCUGUUUAUUUUUGGUGUUUGCAUCAAAUUGCUUGUUUAAAGUUUAUUAUGUAGUUCAUAAACAAAAGUUUGUCCUUUCUCAAUUUAAGUUUUCAGUUGUACAACCAAGUUCCUUCUUCAUACCAUGUAAAUUAAACUAUACAGAGCAAGUGAUCUUCUUUUGCACUGCAUGUAUGCUUCUGUUCUUCAUCCGUAAUCCAGUGGUGUGGUGAACCUACCCACUACAGCACAAUGUCAUAUUCUGCAAUGUCUUAACUAUGAACAAUGUCAUAUCAUUAUACUAUUAUUUAAACUGUCUCUUCAUUUGCCAAUCUGAAAUCGUAUAAAUUGAUAGCACACUAACCAUUGAUACUUAUGAGUUCUUGAUUUGUAAUCCAGUGGUGUCGUGAAGCUGCCAACUCCUUCACAAUGUCAUUUGCUGCCAUGUCUUGACCUGAACAAUACCAUAUUGUGUUAAUGCAAUUUUAAAAUGUGUCUCUUUAUUCGUCAGUAAGAAAUGUGAUGAAUUGUCAGCACUGAUACUUUUAUGUGCAAAACCUUUCAUCUAUCUGCUUGUUUAUCUUUCAGAGUGAGGAAGAUAUAAGUGUUGAACAAGCGCGGUCUCAUCAUCUUGCUCAACUGCUUGCGCUGCAGCUCCCCAGCAGGGCUAACCUUUCUUCAACUCAAUUGAAGUGCUGUCGGUUUUGUAUAUUAUUUUGUUGGCAUGUUUAUUUGCACUGGUGGCGAUCUUUGAUGCCCAGUGUAAGUAAUCUGCUGUCUGCUUGUGCUUUAUUAUCAUAGUGGCGAACUUUGAUGCCUAGUGGACGUAAUAUGCCGUAAUUUCUUUAUUGUAUAGUCUAGGUUUUUUCUUAUGCUGCAGUUAUUUUACUGUAUAUAUAUCCUGUCUUCGCAGUAAACCGGCCAAACCGUAAAAUUACGGUACAUAAUCGAGCCGUCAUGCAAUCACGAUGUAGGUUGGGACUGAAACGUGCCGAACAGCUCACGGGCCGGCAGCAGCCCGAAAUGAACCCCGACCCAUGAUUGUGCGAAUCAAAUCACGGGCUUUUAAUAGGCCAAAAUUGUCUCGGUCCUCGUUUGGCCCAAUCAGAUAUCGGCUGCGAGCAGGCCGGAUGCAAACCGGGCCGUAGUUAGGCCCAACUAUAUGACGGGCUUUUAACAGGCCGAAAUUAAUAUAGGGCCAAAAUGUUAAACAGGCCCUUAACAGGCCAAAACUAAUAUCAGGCCGAAUUACUAAGUGGGCCUUUAGCAAGUGGGCCCAAAAGCAUAGUGUCCAGUUGACGGGCCGAAUCAGAUAUGGGCCAUAAUUGAGCCCGAAGCCUCUUAAAGGGCCGGACCUGAUCUGGGCCGUAAUUUGGCCCAGAACGUGGUAGGCUUUUAACGGGUCGGAUCUCAUAUGGGCCACUAUUAGGCCCGGAGGGUAGCAGGCCAUUAAUGGACCGGAUCAAAUAUGGGCCGGCAUUAGGCCAAAACAUGGCAGCCAGUUAAUGGGCCGGCCCAUUAAUGUCGGCGAAAUCUCGUGGGCCUUUAGCUGGGCCGGCCCAUUAUGAUCCGCAAGAAUCUUGUGGGCCUUAACCUGGGCCGGCCCAUUAUGGCACACAAAAAUCUUGUGGGCCUUUACCUGGGCCGGCCCAUUAUGGCCCGCAAAAUCUUGUGGGCCUUUAGCUGGGCCGGCCCAUUAUGGUCCGCAAAAUCUCGUGGGCCUUUAGCUGUGCCGGCCCAUUAUGGUCCGCAAAAUGUUGUGGGCCUUCAGUUGGGCCGGCCCAUUUAAACUUGAUUGGGCCGGUCCACGUGUCAACAUAUCAUAGGCGCAUCUCGCCCAUUGGAUGAGUGACACCUGUGCCAACGCGGACCUGACACGUGUCUCCUCCAGCCAAUGAUGAUUUUACACGUGGAAAAUCCCCAUUGGUCGGGGCUGUUAACGGGGUAUCGGAUCCAAAACCCGACCCGAUAGCUUAACGGCGUUCCGUUACGGUGGACGCCACGUGUCGGUCACCCUUGACGAAAGCACUUCCGUGAUACGUGAUUUAUCGUCAUGGAAGUGGACACUUCCGUGAUGAUAAUUUUGGUAAUGUCAUGGAACACUUCUACGACAGCACAGGUAUGACUAUCUUGAUUCUGUCAUAAAUUUGUCAUGGAUGUACAUGCAUGAAAAAAAAUGCGACCUACUGUGACAAACACGUAUCAUCACGGAAGUGUAUUUUUUUGUAGUGGCCACUUCGCGCAACAACGCACGUGUUCGCCCCCUCUCCCUAAAUAUCGAUCUCGCACUUGUGCAUUCCUUCAUAGUCUCCCUCCACUCGGCCCCUCGAACCAUCUUCUAGCCCCCCACCAGAUUUUGCCACAUGUAGAAUCUAGCAGACUCCAUGGUUGAACUUGAGCAUAAUGCACAAACCUCAAAACAACAGUGGUUCUUUUUUGUUCUAGAAUCUUACGUAUCAUAACUGCCCAAACUUUUUUUCUAGUUGAAUUGCCAUUAUUUGUUUUUACUUUAUGCUUUACAACGCACAAUUCCAUGAAUCAUAAAAUAGAUUAAGGGCUUCUUUGAUUCAAAGGAUUAUCAAAGGAAUUUUGGAGGAUUCUAAUCAUUAGGAAUUUUUCCUAUCUUGAUUGUUUGAUUCGUAGGAUUGUAAACCAUAGGAAUUUUUCCAUAUGAUUCAUUUGCACUAGAUUUCAUAGGAAACAUCCCAUCCACUCAAACCUCUUUGAAAGAAUUCUGUGUUUUUUCUAUGCACAAUCAAACACUCGUACAAUCAUGUAGGAUUCAAGACGACAUUCCACUAUAAUCCCAUGUUUUUCCUAUUCCUGCGUUCUUAGCUUUUUUAUAAAAACUAAUUGAUUUUGAAUGAUAUGAACUAUAAGAAUUAAACGAAGGGCUACAUCAGGCAUAUAUGACUCAAAGCUUACAUGCUAUAGUGUGGUAUUUAUUCAUAAUUUGGUUGCAAAAUCUGAUGCGUGCAAUGCACGGGUACCUUACUAGUACUUCGAGUAUGUGCAAAACACGUAAAUUAGAAUACCAAUGGCACGCUACACAGUGUCUCUCUUAUAGUUCAUGAAGCCAUGUGGCACAUGUGGAGGCAUUGUCGCGACCUCCUUGCGUGGAUUGAUCACAGUGACGUGCUGCUGGUUCCAGAAGAAUGUACCCGUCCUCCCUGAGCCAUACUGGCGGUACAUGCACAAAGCAAAGAUGUGCACGCACGCCACGCACGCACUCAUUCCCUCGCACGCACACGUGGGUACACGGGCGGACACAAUUUUGUACCAAGAUCCACCCCAUGUGAUAAUUUGACGCGUGUAAAGUCGUUCACUUCAUUGAUGGUCAAUUAAUACAGCGUAUGCAAAUUGAGUGGACGUGAGGGCAGAAGAAAGACAUUAUUACUCCACUGCGCGCAUGCGAGUAGUUAAAUCGUGGGUUGCUAGUAGUACUUCCAUUGGCCUCCUUCGUAUUUUGUGCCAAUUUUUGACAGUAACAUAAUAUUUACGCAUUUGAGCAGUGUAGUACUUGAAAUUUAUGUUCCGCUAAACUCAUCGGGAGCCGUUUCGGGCCUCGAAACCAAAACCAUCAAUUAAUCUUUACCUUGUUCCCAUCACAUUCGAAAGCCUGCUCACACCUACUAGUAUGUACCAAACCUGAACGUGUUCCCACUAUGCAGGUAUUAGUACUAGUGCUACUUAGGUUAUAAAAAGGGGAACUACCUAACCGAAAAUUACUACCUUUCCUCCUCAUAACUGCUUCUUCUUCGUCCAUCGUUGCCAUGGACCGUGAGCAGAGCUCUAGGUCGAGAACUACUCGUAACAAGGGAGCGGCAACCAAGGCUGCGGAAAAAAAGAGAGGGCUCGCCGCCACGCAGAGACCUCGAAAGAUCUAUCACGGGCAGGCAAUGGCUCCCAGGAGCGCCCUAGCCGUGGAGGCGAACAUGCCGAGCCCGCGGAGCUGGAGUCGUUAUCCCUCGACGGCAUGCCCGAUCAGCUCAAUAAGCAGAAGGAGUUCAUCCAAGGCUUGAUGGAGUUGUUGAAGGAGAGCCUCGACGACAUGCCCGCUGAGCUCAAUCAGCAGGGUGAGUUGACCGUCGGCUUGGUGAUGCUGCUGAAGAAGAGCAUUGCCUCGGAGAAGAAUGCGACCGGCGAAAUCCUGCGACUUCGGGAGGACAAGGCGAAGCUCUCACACGAGAUCGACCUGUUGAAGGAGAAGAACGCUGGUUGGAAGAAGCUGCAUGAGAAUAGUAGUUCCUCGAUGAAGAUGCUGCAUGCCCUCGUCAUGGAACAGAAGGAGGAGUUGGCGAAGCUCCGCAUCGAGCACCCGGCUGCUGUCAAGGUACGUAAUGCGGCCGUGGAACAGAUGAUGAAGGCUCGCAUCGAGAAAUCCCGCGUCAUGGACAGAAUGAAGAAGAUGGCGGAGGAGACGCGCAAGGAGAUGGAGGUCAUGGAGGCGAUGAAGAAGCAGUUACGACUCCGCAGCGAAUUAGAUCAUUUGGGGUGAUAAUCUUCCUUCUUGUUUUGCUCCUGUGUUUCAUCUUUUUCUUCGGGUAUUUCGCCGCACGUGUCACGUUCUCUGCGAGGCAUGAAUAGAACAAUGGUUUUUUUGAGGGAAUGAAUAGAACAAUGCUAACAAUGAGAUGACUAGCAAAUUAGAUCAUUUUUAUCGCCAUAUGGCACUGGGCUGCCGUGUUUCGUGCUCCUCCGUCGCAGUACUACUCCAGUGGAAAACUUGAGUAUACCGCACGGUUCUUUCCUCCUCCUCGAUCAGGUUGUCGGCGCAUUUAUACGAGCAGUCAAAUCACAAGGCCCCGCCUUCCAGCAGUAAUGAGCCGUCAAAUCACAAAGGCCCUCGCCUCUCGUGAAACCGACCAAGCUAGACUGCCCCGCCCUCUAGCCUUUUAAAAAAUGUAUACUUUUGCACAGCAGUAGUAUCGAUGGAUUGCACCAUGGACUAAAACUUGAAAUUAAAAAAAGGUGGUACAUAUAGAGAGCGCUCGUCGCCAAAUUAUGCAUAUAGUACUAUUAAAAAGGCUAGUCACAAUAAUGGUGUCCAGCACAACCCACCCCUCAAAUAAAACUAAGAGGGUGCUUGGAUACGUUUUAGUCCCAUGACUAAAAGUAGUGGGACUAAAACAUGCUAGCCUCACCCAUGCUUGGAUCCAAAUACUAAAAAGGCUAAAAUCAAGUUAAUGAGCAUUUAUUAUCCUCCAAACCCUCCAAUCCAGAACUCGCCUGUGUUAAAGGAGAGGAGUUAAAUGAGUAGAGAGAGGACUAAUCCACAUUUUAGUAGGGGUACCCCUGACUAAAUUUUUUUAGUCUCAAGACUAGUUUAGCCCCUCUUUAGUCAGGGGUUCUUGAAACUUUAGCCUCUUAAAGAGACUAUUUUUAGUCAGACUAAAAUAAGUCCCUUGGAUCCAAGCACCCUCUAAGCAUCCUGGUUUGACAAAACUAAGCACCCUGAAAUUCUUUGACAACUAAACUGCUGGCUAUAUGAUGUUGGCCAUAUAUAUUGUACGUACAUAAUGUGAAGAAACGAGUGGUAGUACUAUACCAACUAAAAGAUGAAAUGUAAGAAAUACUAGUAUGCACGUACUGAAGAGUUAAAGUAACGAGAAGAAACAGAACAUAGUUCUGCUGGGGGCUCAGCACAACACACCCCUCAAAUUAAAUUAAGCACACCUGAAAUUAAACUUUGCAACUAUUCCGGUAGACACUGCAUUAGAACCACCAUGAGCAACGACACUGCCACCUUACUCGGAGUCCUCGUCCACGUCCUCGACUUCGUCCUUGUCCCUCUUCCUCUUGGCCGAUACUUCUUUGCUUGAACCGCACACUUGGCUGUUGCUCUUCAUCCAACCCUUGUAGAUAUUGAAGCAAAGGUAGCCAUCCAUUGCAGCGUAGUGGAUGUGGUCUAUAUCUAGUACAUUCUGCUGCCAUGCAUGACGAUGAAACAUGUAUGGAGGUUUCUCCAGUUUACCGUACGAAGGAUGAACCAUGGCUCCUGCCAGGGUCAGCAUUGAAGGCUGACGAGAGGACACCAGCCGAUUCUUCUGGAGGUCGAAGGUGUUGCCUACAACGAGGCCUAUCCGACGCAGGACUUCUUUGUCGUUACCAAAGUCUACAGUAACGAAUUUGACUAGAUUGCUCUCGAGGAAGUCCUUAAAAUCCUGGCACUCAACGUCGGCAUGGCAUAUGUGGUAGACCAAGCAUAAGUCAUGCACGCAAACCUAGAUCACGGCGGGCUUCUUCCUCUUUUCGUCCUUUAGAUCCUUCUCUCGUCCCUGGACGGUGGUGUACUCAACAUUUAGCCCAGCGACCCACUCAUCAUCUGAGUCUUCGAACAUGCGUCUGAAGCGAGAAAGGCAUCCUUUCACCGUCACGGAAGAACGGGUGUAGAUGACGUCGAACUCAUCGCCGGUGAUGGUUCUAACCUUGUACUCACCGCCGAUCGUGGAGAUUUGGGACGCCAUGGAUUUGGGAGGAGGGUUAGGAUUAGUGGAACUGCCGUAAUGUGAAUGGACAGGACGACUAGGAGCGAACCGCCGUAGUAUUGAAGGACGUGCGGGGACGAGUAAGAGCGAACUGCCAGCAUGCGAACGGCAGGGUAGUGGCUUUCCAUUCUCCCAUGAUACGGGCUUCCGAGAGCCCUUGGAUCUGAGACCGAACGGAUGCAUGGCGUGAUUCUAGACCUAUGGGUGAAUAUCCUAGCCUAGAGGGUUAUUCUGCAAAUUUUCAGCAACUUAGCAUGCGACCGUUUGAUCUCAGAUCCAAGGGCUGCCAGCAGCCCGUAUCAUGGUCGCGCCUACCACGACCAUCGCGUCGCUCGCGCCCUUGGAGAUUUAACACGGUGCGUUAGGCUAUCUGAUGUUGGCAUGUCAUACAUAGUCAUCACUUAGUCACUCAUACUACAACAAGAUUGGCUAUAAGGUUGGCUAUAGGUGUAUUUUUUACUCCUCUCUAUCUCUUUCUUCGUACUCCCUCCGUCCCAUAAUAUAAGAACUUUUUGACACUAGUGUAGUGCCAAAAACGUUCUUAUAUUAUGGGACACAGGGAGUACUAGUAUUUAUUGCAUUUGCCAAGGAGUGACCUCUUCCAAUGAAAUGGUGUUGCUAAGUUUGCUUCAUUUAAUUAGCUAUAGACUCAAAAUUGUCUUUUCACCUAGGUACAUGCUCUUAGCACCAUUUCUUCCUUGGGUCACCAAACUAGUCUCUCUCUUCUUGAUUAACUUGCCACAUCAGACUUUAUGCCUAUGUGGCAAGCUUAAGCACCUGUAGGAGCAAGUAAAAGUAAGUACAAUAGUGCGCUUUACAUGGCAUUUUUGCAUAUGUGGAGGAAAGAGAGGCAAGGAAAAAGUGGAGAAGUGGGCUCUCAUGCAAGAGCCAGCCUCUACUACAUGGUGGAGCAUUGGGAGAGGCACCUAUAUGGAGGUGGUCAGGAAUUGGGAGACUCACGCCAGUCGUAGCACCGCAGUUAAAAUGAUAAUGGCAAGUCAAAUCACGGGGCCCCACCUGUCCAGCAGUAACUCGCUAUCAAAUCACACAGCCCUACGUUUGCAGCAGCCUACUCCCUCGUCUUCUCGCGUCUCUAUCGAACCGACUAGGCGGAACUGCCCCGCCGCCUACCGCGCAGGAAAAGCCCCGCCCUCGACUUUUAAAUAGUAUACAGUAUACUAAUUUUGUAUCCAUGGAUUGCGCCCGCGCCAUGGAGCAAAGCGUCUAGAAAACGGCAGUACACAUGUACGGAGUAUACAGCACGCCCGUUGCGUUCGCGUCGCACCCCAGACGGUCGGUCGGUCUGGCAUGCUGUUCUCCGAAUGGAACGCACGUCAUAUUGCGUUUGCACACACAUGUGCGGAAAUUGAGAACCGACCAUAGGCACACUCCCCGACCCCGCAAGUCGGGUGACUUAAUAGAAGAGGGAGACGAGCGAUAGUACUAGAGAAUUGUUGUACUACGUUGGUGCCUGGACGAUCCCUGCAAGACACGGAAGAUCAGUUCGUCCAUGCAUGUGACCAGACUCCAGCAGACACACCUGGAUUGGCUAUCGUGUACAUAUCGUGCAGGUUGUGUUGUACAUGGCUGUAGUUGUGGUGAGAAAUCUAAAAAAAGGUUUCUUGUCAUCUCGCAAAAUUAGGUGUCAUGUGCUUCGGAUCACUGCGAGGGUUAAACAGCGACAACUGAGUUGGGCUAGUCAUUGGGGGCACAUGCACGAACAAUGACUACUCGGCUGCCAUCUAGGUCAAGCCGGCUAUGUUAAUUAGGACAUCUAUCGACGGACCCCCUUUUCUACGAGUUUAUCUUUAAUUUGAGCUAUGUUCCUCGUCUAGUUUGUCCGUCGGGAUUCAUGUUGUCUCCUUUGGGCAGUGAGGUUAUGAUUUCUUGUCAUGUGGUAUUUUUUCAUGUUAUAUGUUAUAAUCCGGCGCUUCAGACCAAAAUGACGACAACUGCGCCUCCGGGCCACGUGCAUGAAGACUUCUCGACAGUCAUUGACGAGGUCAAGCCGGCUCCGGUAGACAAAAGAAAACUAGUACUACUCCACUAUAUAGGCAGGAGCCUCCGCGCUUGCUUGCUAGUGUUGCUCUCUUCACACUGUCUCGGCCUCUCCAGAUCUAAACACGACAGCAGUGGCCACACUCUCUCUCUCUCUCUGCUCGUCGCUGGUUACAGAUCCAGCCGGAUCCUCUCCGCCGGGGAAGGUGAGAAGGUGCAACGUUCACGCGGUCGUCCUUCGCGACGGCUCUUACCCACUGCUGGGCGCGUCCCGAUCAGCCUGCCUUGCCAUUCUCUCCCAAGCACCGCUGGCGAGGGAGGGCCUCCAACCCCUUCUUCCUCGCUGUCGUAGUGUGCGCAGAUCCGGCCUCCCGCCGCCCACCUAGCGACAUCCCGACGACCAUCAGGUAUAACUUCCUUCGAAACCAGCCUUGCUCUACUUCCCGAGCUCCUGCCGUCGCUGCAUUUGUAUCUUUUACUAUUUCUCAGGCCCCCUCGUAGAUAGGAUCGAUCGGCUGUUCGAAAACCACCUAAUUUUUUUUACGUUUAAGAGGUAAAACUAGUUCAUGCACUCGAAUCUAGUACUACUUGGUUCAAACAAGGAAGAAAAGGGGUGGGGUGGGGGAGGAUUUGUUACCUGAAUCUAGGACUUGGUCGAAAGAGGAAAUAAUGGGGGCGAAAAGUAGCAGAGACUGGCUAUCCAACUGGUCUCUAGGUCUAAUAGGGAAAUAAAGGGAAACGCAGUACAAACUCAAUAUAAACCCGAUCUAUUGGUUGAAAAAGGAAAGAAAGUGGGGACUGGGGGACAAGUCAACAGAGUAAGUCCAGCACUAGAUUUGCUAGCCUCACACAAUAUAAGGUGGCUAUACCGAACAAAAAUGGGACCAACCCAGAUUUCCUGUUCUGAUGUUUGUUGCCCUGAGCCACUCUUAUGUAAUGCCACUGGUAAAAUGUAGCAGUCGCACUGUUAAAAGUAAGGACACGUUAAACCAAUGUUGUUUUCAAUGUAAUGCCUCCAGUAAUAUGAAUCAAUGGCACUUCUUUACAUGUCCUGCUAAAAUUUCCCAUUAAGAUAAGUUGGUUCUUUUCGUUAGAAAUGCAACUGUCCUGGUCCGCCUACUCUUCCGUGCCCAAAGUAAUGUCGUAUUUAAUGGUUGUCAUAGUUAAUCCUAAUGCCCACACUAAUAUCUAGCAAUGCCAGUGCUUUAGAAAUUGCUACUGUCCUUGUAGGAUUGCCAUUCAGAUAAGGAACAUGCUUCUUUUCAUUUGAUGCAAGUUUCAUCACUUGUUAGUCACCCUCCCUUCCACCUUUUUUGUGCAAACAGAGAUAUACAUUUCACGCUCGAUCUUAGUUGAACUGCACAAAUGAUAUCCAAAUUAUAGUUGAGCAUUCCAGGAGCUUCACACCAACCUUGAUGUUGCUCAAUUUUAUUGCAACUAAUGAAGAAGAAGCUCUGUGGGUUUCAUUUUCUGAUGGAAAUGGAACCGGGGCUGGGGCCCUUUUCUUAAAUUUUUUUGAAGAAGCUGCUAGCUCAUGGGACAUUGCUUCAUUUUAGGUGGACUGCACCAAAAGGUCCCAUGAAUUGAAUCAUCCAUGUUGGUGAUUGAAAGAGCCAGCUUCAGCAUCCCAGUCUAAGCACCCGCGGCCUCCAUCCUUGCGACGCACGGUACACCUCGUUUGCCACCUGCUCGACCCUAGUGUCACUGAUAAAAUGAAGUAAUAAUAUAGUUAAAAUAGAGCGAGUGUCAUCUCUAUCAUUUCAUUUCCAAUGUAGAUAAAGAAAGUGCUUCUCUUUGUUAAUGUAUGUUUCAUCAACUAGUCCCAUUGUUAAUGUUUAAGCGUUUCUGCAAACUGGGGUGCUUAAUUUUAGUUGAUAUGUACAAAAAUAGAGAUUUGAAUGUCUCAAGGCGCCUCCUUGUACUACCGCUGUACACUGAUGUUCAUCACUGGCAGAAGGUGUGUCUGGGAGACUUGGGACGAUGUCCAGUAUGAGGCGUCGCAGGGCCCAUCUCGCCCUCACAGCAUGGCAUACUAUGAUACUAUUGCAAUAUUUUCUUCUAUUUAUUUUGUGUGUUUCAUCAACUAGUGCCACUAUAAUGUAAUCACGCUUUUUCAUUAUCUAUGCAAACAGGGUUAUUCAGCUGCAUUUUGGUGGAACUGCACCAAAAUUACGUAUGGAACUGGCAUAUAUGCAGAGUGCGAGGUGUGCCAAGUAAAAAUUACCGACACAUGCUGCAUGCACGCAUUGGCAUCCACCACCACCAGUGGGAUGUGUGGCGCUCUCUGUGGACGGGUCUUUCUCAGCAGCAAAUCAUCUAACCAAAUACUAGUAGCUUAUAUUGGCAGUUUUCUAGGGAGUACUCUUUUCUGAAAGAAGCACCAAUCUAUUUUUCUUUAUUUGUAAUUGUGUCACAAUUUUGACCCAAAGGUCCAGAGCUAUUUUAGAGUGAUUGGCGUAGUACUCGGAGACUGAUUGUAAGCAUUAUUUUCAUUAGCUGUCACACUAAUUGUAAGCAUGAGCAGGUGGAAGAUUAGGUUAGUGCGAAGCUUACCUUAAACCCUACUGCCGCCGUUGAAACGAGGCGAGCAUCGAGGGAACCGUGGAGAACGGCGGGGAAGGGACGUCGCGCCAUCCGGCCUCCUCUUGCGGUGGGAGAACGAAUAGUCCUGUGGCUCCGGCUGGCUCUGCACCCUCACGAACGGCACACCAUACUCGAUCGAUUCGUUAUCCUCUGGGUGCUCGACCUUCGACCUGUACGCCCACCACCUCCGCCUGACUGUCGCCUCGGGCGAAUCUGUCUGCUCCAUCACCCAGAGGAGAUACUCGAUGAACUCGGAGGACUGCGGCGUGACUGCCGCCGAGGAGUACAUGUACAUCGCCGCCCUCAUCGCCGCCGUCUCGCUCUUUCGCAUACAUUGCCACAUGGCCCGCACCGUCCUCGAAAUCUCCCACUCAUUGUCAAACGAACUAAGGAUCUCCUUCAACCUGGCUAACUUUGCCUGGUCGCCGCCGGCGAUCUGCCUGAUUCGCUGCUGCAUCCUCUCCAUAGAUGUCCUUCUGAGUGGUCCGGUGCUAGCUUUGGAAGAUGGGAGGAGAGACGGUGGUCUUGCAAUAGAGAAGAGGGAGAGGCGAGAUGGUGGUUUUGGAAUGGAGAUGAUGGAGAGGAGAGGAAGUGGUUUUGCAAUGGAGAAGAUCAGAAGAGGGAGAGGCGAGACGGUGGUUUUGGAAUGGAGAUGAUGGAGAGGAGAGGAGGUGGUUUUGCAAUGGAGAAGAUCAGAAGAGGGAGAGGCGAGACGGUGGUUUUGGAAUGGAGAUGAUGGAGAGGAGAGGAGGUGGUUUUGCAAUGGAGAAGAUGGAGAGGAGCGUGCGGCAGCGAUUUAGGAUUGGACGAGAGGGCCGGCGCGCUGUGACUGGAUCAAAAUCAAAAUCAAUUUACCCUUCAAUUAAGAAAGCGACCCCACAUUAACUAGUCUCCCUUUUAUUCUGGGUCAUAAUUGACCAUGAUUUUCACACAUAAAAUAUAUGUUAUACGUUGCAAAAAUAAUAUAAUUUGAAAGUACAUUCAGAUACGAACCAAUGAUACAAAUUUUGGUGACAUGCAUUCACAUUUUGCUUGUCAAAUACAGUACGUGGUCAAACUUUGACCCAAAAUACGCAAAACAACAAAAAAAUACUUCCAAGACCAGCGCCGCUCUUCCGCUCUUCUCCUCUUAAACCACCGCCGCUCCUCUCCUGUUCUAAUCUAAAUGCAGCGCCGCUCCUCUCCUCUUCCAUUUCAAAACCACCGCCCCUCCUCUCCUGUUCCAGUCCGAAACCAGCGUCGCUCCUCUCCCGUUCUAAUCCAAAAUCAGCACUGCUCCUCUCCUCUUCCAUUCAAAAACCACCGCCGGCGAGUGAAGGUGCUGUGGAGAAGUAGAUCGAUGGAGGAGUACAACUGAUACGUGAGGAUCGCAGACGGCGACCCUGUGAAGCUAGCUAGGAUGUUGGAGAUACAGUCUUGGUUUGACAACAAGGACCAACUAGCAGCGACGACGACAUCCAUGGCCAAAUAUCUGCAACAGAGCGAAAAGGCGGCGAUACUCCCGGAGGGAGUCGCGCCGGAGUACAUAGAGCUGCUCCUCUGGGCCAUGGAGCAAACAGAUUCACAGAAUCCGAUCGUGAGGGAGCGGUGGUGGGAGUAUCGAUCCCAGAUGGAGCAUCCACCAGAGAUUGAAGGAUCGAGCAUCUACAGGGUGCCGUUUGUGAGGGUGUCCUGGCAGAGCGAGCCGGUGGAGUCUUCGUCGACCGAACCCAACUGCAAGAGGAGAAAAGCAGUUGGCCCGAUGACGCUUCCCCGCCAUCGUCUCCCUCGCCGUUCACAUCGUCUCACGGGGCGGCUGUCUGUCGCCGAGGAAUAGGAGGGGGCUGCCCCCCCAGCCCAAUAGUCGGGCAGGUUGUGAAUUGUCAGGAGGAGCUUAGGGUUGUCAGUAUUUGCAGGUUGUGAAUUGUGUUUUGUGUUGUGUAUUUUGAGAGUACUUUCAGAUAUGAAUGUCUUUUGAAUUUUAGAUUUGCAGUAUUGAGCAUAUGAAGUAUUUUAUGAAUUCUAGAAAUCUAUUUUUAGCACUUAAAAAAUGUAGUUUCAUAGGAGUAUAAAAGUGCAGACAAUGUGAUUCUUAGAGAAGAGACUGCAAGUUUCAGUUUCAGAUAAGAAACUGCAAGUUCAGUUUCAGAGAAGAAACUACAACUUUCAGAGGCAGAGCAUUUAUAUUAACACGGCCUUUUCAAACAGGGUUAACAUCAUGUUGGAAGUUUUAUUCAUGGUCGAAAAUGGAACUACCAGCCAGUUAACAUCAUGCUGAUCAACAUUCAUGCAUAGCACAUCUUCAUAUGAUGCAUAGUCAAAAUGCCCACACAAUGUCGAGUGUGCGAAACACAGAGAAAACGAGGGACGAAGUUUUGGCAAGUCUUGGACGUGGUUUUGGGCUUCCCCGUCUAGGCUUUCAUUUUUAACAUGCGCAGCCCACGACCUCGGAUGGGAGGUCCAUAGGCCUGUUUGUAUUUUCUUAGGGCCGUCAUGUAUCGACCGGCCUAUGGACCUCCCAUCCGAGGUUUUAUUUUUGGCAGCCAAUUUAUGUAUUUUUUGAAGUAAACGCAGAGGUCUGUUCUAUUUUUCUAUAAAAGAAUAGGAACGCCAGGUCCAACUUAUGUUUCCCUUCUAACUAUAUUAUAUAUAUUUAAAUUAUUUUAUAUGUUAUUAUAUAUUAUUUUUAUUGUCAUCAUAUAUUUAACAGAUACUUACAUAUGUAAGAAAACAAUAUCCCACAUCUUGUUAACUUAUAAAAAUAAUUUCUUAACAAAUAAAAUCCUGGAUUGUUUUGGCGCGAAAAUCCUAGUGAUUGUGUACAAAAGCUUGGUAAGAUUUAAGGACGAAUGUAAUAAUAUCAUUUAUUAUUUAAAUAUAUUUAUAACAAAAUGCUCAGCCCCUUUUUAUUUUUUGAUAACAUUGCUGGCCCAACCCAACAUUAUAAUUAGAAUCAGCCCAGCAAAAUCGUGUAUUUCGAGAAAGUGCAAAUGGCCUGUAAUUUUUUAGGAAAUAAAAUAAAUGGGCCGCAUGGACGCUACAUUAUUUGUUCACCCAGUCCAGCUAAUGGCUGUAAUUCAAAAAAAGAGAUCAAAUUGACUGUAAAUUCUACCGCGCAAAAAAAAGACUGUAAAUUCUGAAAAAAUUGGUUGAAUACGUGCCACAUUUUUGGAGGCUGAAAUGUGGGCCAAUAGGUCGAAGCCAACGCAAGUCGUCGUCAAUUUAGUCAACAAAUGAUUCUGACAUGUUAGCCGUUGGAUUUACAUCCAACGACCGGCAUCCAUCUUCAACCUCUCGUCUUCUUCCUCCAGCGCCGCCGGGACCACCUCCCGCCUCCUGCUGCUAGCAGCUCUGCUUAGCAUGCUUCGCUAUGAAGCGCUACUCCACCGUUGGCUAGGCCAUCCCUCCACCCCUCCACAUCUCCUGUUCUUCUCCACCGACUGCCGAACCACACCGCACUAGAACUAGUUAACCCUCGUACACCUCUCCGUCUGCGAGUCUACUCCCGCGUCUUCCCAUCUCCGGCUCGUUGCUGUCCGGGGCCUCGCCGUCGUCCACCACCUUGGAUGCGCUCGGCGCGGCGUGGUCAACUUGGUCAACGAACAACACCAUCGGAAGUAGACUGUGCAUGGAGAGGCUGACAGCUGGGUCCACGGCCGCGCACAAGGAAAUGCCUCCUUAUUACGCGCAAAAUAAUGAUUCCUCCACCUGACAUCUGGGACCCACCGGAAGGGCCUAUGUAUUUCGCGAAAAUAACGUGCCCCCCGCUGACAUGUUGGACCCACCAGCUAUCUUCGGACGCAAGGAAGUGCCUCCUUAUUACGCACAAAAAAAUGAAUACUCCCCCUGCCAGGUAGAACCCAGCAUAGUGGGAGGCUGACUUGUGGACCUACCAAGUUGACGGGGACGGAGGGCUUUGUCAACUUAGUCAAUAUGAACGAUUCUAGCUCCUGUUACCGCACGAUGUUCAUCCAACGGCCGUGGUGCUUCUUCAACCUCUGGUCUUCUUGCUCCAGCCGCCCAAACCAGUGCCGGUCGUGCCGCGUGCUACUGCCUCCCGUGGCCGGCUGUGAUGCCGCGGAGGCCUCACCGCCCCUACUACUCCCACCGCUGGCCAGGACGUCCCUCUUCACACCGACACCCCCUGUUAUUCUCCGGCGACAGCAUCCUCACACCGCAGCCGAACCAGUGAACCCUCGUACUCCUCUUCGCGUGGGCAUCCACUGCUGCGUCUUCCCCGGCUCCGAGUCGUCCCCUUCCUAGUCCUCGCCGUCGUCCACCGCCGUGGUGCUCUCGGCGCGGCGUGGUCAACGUGGUCAAGGAACGACUUCCAUCGGAUGUGGACUGUACGUGGAGAGGCUGACAGCUGGGUCCAUUGCCGCAGCAAGGAAGUGCCUCCUUAUUACGCGCAAAAUAAUGAUUCCUCCACCUGACAGCGGGGACCCACCGGACGGGCCACCGUAUUUCGCGAAAAAACGUUUCCCCCUGACUGCUGGGACCCACCAGCUACAUCUUCAAACGCAAGGAAGUGCGUCCGGGCAAAAAAAAUGAUUCGCCCCCCUGACUUCUGGGACCCACCAGCUACAUCUUCGCACGCAAGGAAGUGCGUCCGGGAAAAAAAUGAUUCGGCCCCCUGACUGCUGGGACCCACCAGCUACAUCUUCGCAGGCAAGGAAGCGCCUGACAGUCGGGACCCACCUGGUCGAAGCAUACAUAGCGUUGUCAUUCUGGUCGCGAACGUGUACGUACAUAUAUACUGGUGGAUGUAGUGGCGCGCACGUGUCAUAGUAGAGGCGCGUAUGUGUCGUAGUAGAGGCGCGCACGUAGCAUGUACACGUACGUACAGCGGCCAGGGUGCAAGAAAGAAAAUACGGCCACGUAUGUGUACAUACGGGUGGGGUCUCGAACGCCUACUCGCGCAUACGUACGGCCAGGGCUCGUGUACAUGGCUGGGUCGGAACAGAGAAACAGUGUCAUCGUCGUGUUCGUGGGGAGGCAACGGAAUGCGUCGUGUUUAUGGAGAGGCAACGGAAUGCGUCGUGUUCAUGGGGAGCCAACGGAAUGCGUCGUGUUCAUCGGGAGGCAACGGAACGCGUGGGAGCCAACCGGCUGGGUCGGAACGGAAUGCGUGGUCAUGUUCAUCGGGAGGGCUUGGACGGAACAGGCGAUGGAAACGAGGCCUGGCAUACUGCAAAACGGAGGAAACGGACCUCCUACGUUCGGAACGGGGUCCUAUUGAUCGGGAGGGGUGUGGCAUACCACAAAACGGAGGAAACGGACCUCCUAUGGUCGAAACGGGGGUCCUGUUGAUCGGGNNNNNNNNNNNNNNNNNNNNNNNNNNNNNNNNNNNNNNNNNNNNNNNNNNNNNNNNNNNNNNNNNNNNNNNNNNNNNNNNNNNNNNNNNNNNNNNNNNNNNNNNNNNNNNNNNNNNNNNNNNNNNNNNNNNNNNNNNNNNNNNNNNNNNNNNNNNNNNNNNNNNNNNNNNNNNNNNNNNNNNNNNNNNNNNNNNNNNNNNNNNNNNNNNNNNNNNNNNNNNNNNNNNNNNNNNNNNNNNNNNNNNNNNNNNNNNNNNNNNNNNNNNNNNNNNNNNNNNNNNNNNNNNNNNNNNNNNNNNNNNNNNNNNNNNNNNNNNNNNNNNNNNNNNNNNNNNNNNNNNNNNNNNNNACUGUUCAAACACCCCUCCACGGGCACCCCUCCACCGUCUACUGUUCAUCCAGCCCUCCACACCAUGGGGUCCUAUUCAACCACCCCUCCACGGGCACCCCUCCACCGUCUACUGUUCUUCCAGCCCUCCACACCACGGGGUCCUAUUCAUCCAGAGGCAAGGCCACCGCUCACUGUUCAUCCAACCCCCCCCCCCAACGCUCACUGUUCAUCCAAUCGAUCGGCUUCAGUUAGCAGCAGUAGCGAAGGAAUCGCUCAAUCGGGUUCAGUUAGCAGGAGUAGCGAAGGAAUCGCUCGAUCGGGUUCAGUUAACAGCCAUAGAUCGAUCGCUCGGGUUCAGUAAUGCGUAACCUGCAGUGCAAUCGCUCGGGUUCAGUUAGAGCCCAACGCCUCGCUCGGGUUCAGUUAGAGCCAACGCCUCGCACACACGCGCGUACGUGUACGAGAGAAACGCACAUCGCUCGGCCCCCGACCUCCCACCGUAACCGGGAACUCCCCGAAAUUUUCCUCCCCCUCGCUUCUACCACGGUUUUUUCCGUCAUGGACGGCCCAAAGAAUGUCAUGCAGCUGCGUCUCCGGCCCGCCCAGGACGAAAAGCCCAUUUUCUGUCAUGAUUUUUUGUCAUAGAAGUAGGAGCCCAUUGUCACAAUUAUCAUCAUAGAAGUGUCAUAUGUAUGACAGAAAAAAAUUUCGUUCGGCCCAAAAUGUCACGGAUGUGUCUUUUUCUUGUAGUGGCUAUGCAACGCUUGUGAAUUUAAAAUAUUACCUUCUGUGCUGCCGUUUAUCAAAUCUGAGAGUUGGCCAGUCGUCGGCUUCUGCCCCCAUGUAACUAGUACUGAGGUGUUCGGGAUAAACCUGAGCACUCUUUAUCCCAAUUUUGGGUCCUUCAAAGGAGGUGUUCAGCACAGCGAACCAGGCAAUCAGACUAUAAAGCUUUAUCACUCUCACUUAGCCAUAGAAGUCUACAAUUUUAAAUUUUGGCGAAGCCCCUAGUAUUCGGAAGGCCGAAUUUGGGGUGCUAUAUACGCCUAAGUCGGGCAAGGCCGACUCCUCGCCCGAAGCGGAAAAGUCUUUAAGGACUUGAGACCUCUCGAACAGCGACCAGCUCUCGCCGCAUCAUGACAGUCAGUUUUUGGCUUUCUCUACUGAGGUGCUCGUCCGGAAGAACCGGGACACAAUCGCAGUAGUUCUCCCAGUGCUACCUUAGCCGAUAUAGUGGAACGUAAGGUACCAAAACAUGGGAGCCGGGCAAACCCAACUAUUGACCCAAGAUAUGAUUCGGAGCUGAUGCAUAUACUGCUAUAAGUUCGGGGUGCCGCACUGUCGAAAGUGUUCGGACUUCUCACACCGUAUUGAUGGGGUAUAGUGAAGCCCCCGGCGUACUGGUCGUACCAGAAUGUAUGGGUGCAAUUUGUCGUAAAUAGACAGACAAGGAAAAGGGAAGGGUAAUUCAAUAAUAGGCUAAUGCUAUGCAUUGUUAUUUAAAUAAUACGUCGAAGCGUACUAAUACAAGUAGUGCAAUAAGUAAAAAAUAGGACUAUUUGACAUGUCCUAUCCAAGGGCAAGCUGCAUAUGGGUAUUUAAAACAGGUAUUUCGAUAGUUGUCAGAGACCACCUGGGGAUUCCCUUGUACGUCUUAGCUUCUUGCCUCCUUGGUAUUUCCUUCCCGUAAUGCGUCCAGCAAUCAGACUGCCGAAAAGGGCUUCCAGAGAGUAAGGUCCUAAAAGAGAGAAAAUGAUAAAGGUAUACAGCCCCUGGGGCGGUUGAGCCGCAUUGUGGGGCGUGUCCUGGCCGUGCCCCCGCCUAUGCCCAUGGUAUUUUUGGUGCGUAAUUAUGUACGCGCGGCACAGAUUUCGUCGCUUGACUGGGACUAGGGCGGAGGCUGAAUUGCUAGGCGAGCUCUGAACAUGCCAGGCGAUCCUGUUGCAGGUUACUCCGGACUCGCUUGAAGGUGUCCGGGGGCUUUAUCACCGAAUUGGCGGUUUGCCUUAAAAGGCUGCUUUGUGCCUCUGCUGCGAGGGCUGUAGUGUGCUCCUCCGUGCGGAGCGAGCGUUCUAUGUUUCCAUUGACUGUUAUAACCCCACGAGGUCCUGGAAUUUUUAGCUUGAGGUAUGCAUAAUGCGGUACCGCAUUGAAUCUGGCAAAUGCGGUUCGUCCGAGCAGUGCGUGAUAGCCACUGCGGAACGGGACGAUAUCAAAGAUUAACUCCUCGCUUCGGAAGUUGUCCGGAGAUCCGAAGACCACUUCCAGUGUGAUUGAGCCCGUGCAGCGGGCCUCUACACGUGGGAUGACACCUUUAAAGGUGGUUUUAGUGUGUUUGAUCCUCGAGGGGUCUAUACCCAUUUUGCGCGCUUUAUCCUAAUAAAGCAGGUUCAGGCUGCUACCGCCAUCCAUAAGGACUCGGGUGAGGUGAAAUCCGUCAAUGAUGGGAUCAAGGACCAAUGUGGCAGAACCGCCAUGACAGAUACUAGUGGGGUGGUCCCUACGAUCGAAAGUGAUCGGACAAGAAGACCAUGGGUUGAACUUCGGGGCGACUGGCUCCAUCGCGUAGACGUCCCUUAGUGCACGCUUCCGUUCCCUCUUGGGAAUAUGGGUUGCGUAUAUCAUGUUCACCGUUUUCACUUGGGGAGGAAAUUUCUUCUGUCCUCCUGUGUUUGGCGGCCGGGACUCCUCCUCAUCGUCGCUAUGUAGCCCCUUUUCCUUGUUUUCGGUAUUGAACUUGCCGGCCUGCUUGAACACCUAGCAUUCUCUGUUGGUGUGAUUGGCUGGCUUAUCGGGGGUGCCGUAAAUUUGACACGAGCGAUCGAGUAUGCGGUCCAAACUGGACGGCCCGGGUUGCUUCUUUUGAACGGCUUCUUCUGCUGACCGGAUUUAGAGCCACUGAAAUCCGGCAUUGACUGCCGUGUCUUCGGCAUUGUCACCGUUGUUGCGGCGCUUGUGUCUGUUGCGACAUGGUCUGCCGUUACUAUCUUUGGCAUCUAAAUUGCCAUGGCUUCUUGAUGUGUUAUUGCUGCGAGCCAGCCAGCUAUCCUCGCCCGCACAAAAGCGGGUCAUGAGUGUCGUGAGGGCUGCCAUAGACUUCGGCUUCUCCUGUCCGAGGUGCCGGGCGAGCCACUCAUCACAGAUGUUAUGCUUAAAUGCCGCUAAACCCUCUGCAUCCGGACAGUCGACAAUUUGGUUUUUCUUAGUUAGGAACCGGGUCCAGAAUUUCCUGGCCGAUUCCCCUGGCUGCUGAGUUAUACGGCUCAAGUCAUCAGCAUCCGGUGGUCGCACAUAAGUGCCCUGGAAGUUGUCAAGGAAUGCAUCUUCCAAAUCCUCCCAACUACCAAUGGAGUCUGCUGGCAAGCUAUUCAGCCAAUGUCGAGCUGGUCCUUUGAGUUUUAGUGGGAGGUACUUGAUGGCAUGUAGAUCGUCACCGCGAGCCAUGUGGAUGUGGAGUAGGAAAUCCUCGAUCCAUACCGCGGGAUCUGUUGUACCAUCAUAUGAUUCAAUGUUUACGGGUUUAAAACCCUCUGGGAAUUCGUGAUCCAUUACUUCAUCAGUGAAGCAUAGGUGGUGUGCGGCGCCUCUGUGCUGGGCUAUAUCACGACGCAGUUCAUACGAGUCUUGUCUGUUGUAUUCGGCCCAACCGGAUUUGCUUUUAGUGUAUCCGGCAUGACGAUCAUCAUCACGCGUUGGGGCGUGACCCCGUGAUCCGUAGAUCGAUCUUGCAUGUUUUGCUUUGUUUUCCAAUACGUCUCGCAGGUCCCGCGUGUUGCCCCGGGCCUUGGUAUUUUUGUUUGAAUGGCGGCGGGGUGCCGGCUGGACUUCGGGCUGAUAUGCCUCUCUGUUUCGGCCACGAGGUGGCCGAUCGGCCGCAUCAUACGCUGGUGAUGUAGGUUUCAAUGCUUCGUCCUCGAGUUGGGGUAGCAACCUGCUUUGGGUAACUCUUGGUUGGGCGCUCGAGUUCGUAUUCCUCGGCCGCCAGGACUUCAGUCCAUCAAUCCGCUAGCAGAUCUUGAUCAGCUCGAAGCUUUUGUUGCUUUUUCUUCAGGCUGUUUGCUGUGGCUAUAAGCCGGCGCUUGAAGCGCUCCUGCUCGACGGGAUCCUCAGGCACGAUAAAUUCUUCGUCGCCGUGGCUCACCUCGUCUUCGGAGAGAGGCAUGUAAUUGUCAUCCUCUGAUUCUCCGUCUGCUGCUUGUUUCGGAGGGCUAGCUUGUUCAUCCUCCCGCUCGAGGUCUGGCUGGAGGGGAUUAUCAUCGUCUUCGGCACUAUCCGGAGCGUUAUUGUCUCUUGUGCCGGUAUCGCUGCUUUUGCUAUGGCGAGACUUAGAGCGGCGCCACUGACGUCGGUGAUUGGAUUGCUUCUUGGAGGGAUUAUCCUCCGUUGUCUUAUCGCCAUCCCCUUCUUUGGGGGUGUCCACCAUGUAUAUGUCAUAUGAUGAGGUGGCGGUCCAGCGCCCUGUGGGCGGUGGUUCUUGUUUGUCUCCUGUAUCGUCGUCCAUACCGUCGAUGUCUUCAGAGCCGAAGUCGAGCAUGUCGGUUAAAUCGUCGACAGUGGCUACUAGGUGGGUGGUCGGUGGGGAGCGAAUUUCUUCUUUGUCCGCAUCCCAUUCUAGCCGGACAUAGUUCGGCCAAGGGUCUCCUGACAGGGAGAUAGACCUCAACGAGUUUAGCACGUCGCCAAAGGGCGAGUGCUGAAAGAUAUCCGCGGAGGUAAACUCCAUGAUCGGUGCCCAAUCGGAUUCGAUAGGCACGGACGCAGGCGGCUCGGAGCCCAUGGCCCGGGACGAAUCCAAUGGUCCGGCAACACGGGUCUCGGAGGAGGUGAAGUCAGUAUUCGGCUCUAUCGCCGCUGAGUGUGCAGCCUCCGUGGCGGGGUCCAUCCACCCGUCCUCAGAUGGCGCAAUUUGUUCCGGAUUGAGGGCCGGAGUAGUUGCAGGUGUGAUCUCCCGAACACUAUCCGACGGCAGAGCUAAAUCAUGCUCGUCGUGAUUGUGCGGCGCACCUGACAUGGGCUCGAAUCCGUCGAAGAUCAAGUCUCCGCGGAUGUCGGGAGUAUAGUUCAAGUUUCCAAACCUGACCUGAUGGCCAGGGGCCUAGCUCUCGAUCUGGUCUAGAUGGCCAAGCGAGUUGGCCCGCAGUACGAAGCUGCCGAAUACGAAGAUCUGUCUGGGGAGGAAAACCUCACCCUGGAUCGCAUCGUUGCCGAUGAUCGAAGGAGCCAUCUAGCCUUAGGUGACGGCACAGUGGAACUCUCAAUGAAAGCACCAAUGUCGGUGUCAAAACCGGCGGAUCUCGGGUAGGGGGUCCCGAACUGUGCGUCUAAGGCGGAUGGUAACAGGAGGCGGGGGACACGAUGUUUACCCUGGUUUGGGCCCUCUCGAUGGAGGUAAUACCCUACUUCCUGCUUGAUUGAUCUUGAUGAUAUGAGUAUUACAAGAGUUGAUCUACCACGAGAUCGAGGAGGCUAAAACCCUAGAAGCUAGCCUAUGGUAUGAUUGUUGUUGUCCUACGGACUAAACCCUCCGGUUUAUAUAGACACCGGAGGGGUCUAGGGUUACACAGAGUCGGUUACAAGGGAGGAGAUCUACAUAUCCAUAUUGCCAAGCUUGCCUUCCACGCCAAGGAGAGUCCCAUCCGGACACGGGACGAGGUCUUCAAUCUUGUAUCUUCAUAGUCCAACAGUCCGGCCAAAGGAUAUAGUCCGGCUGUCCGAGGACCCCCUAAUCCAGGACUCCCUCAAGAGUCUUAAUAAUUUUGAUGAAGAUGAUUCCGGAAUUUUUCGUUAUUUACUCGAUGAAUCUUUGAAAGAUGCUUGGGAUAGACUAUUAAGGAUCCGGGCUAGCUAUGUGCCCCAAUACCAAAUUGAAGUUUACUUAAAGAGCUUUUAUGUUGCCAUCCCUUCUUCAUUUAAGCAUGUCUUAGAUUCUAUAUUUGAAAAAGGUUUUCUUGAAGGGGAUGCCGUAUAUACUUAUGAAAAGAUGAAAACCAUAUUUGGGCACCCCAUGAAUGAGAAAGUUGAAUCUACAUCUCUUUUGCUCUCCUACCAAAGCGAAUCUUUCAAAGAGAUGAAGGCUAGCUUAGAUGCAAAUUUCCGUAACAUGCUUAGUCUUUCUUCUACCAUUAAUAGCCACGUGCUUUAUCAAAAUAGAAAGAUUAAUGCCAUAGAUAAUAUGUUUGCUCUUUUCUUCCCUAAAACUAAAUAAGGCAAUACUUAGAUCUAUCCUUGUUUUUAUGCCUAGCUAAGGGCGUUAAACGAUAGCGCUUGUUGGGAGGCAACCCGAUUUUAUUUUAGUUUUUUUUUUUGCUUUUUGCUUCUGUUUAGGAAUAAAUAUUUUAUCUAGCCUCUGGUUAGAUUUGUUUUUAUGUUUUAUUAGUGUUUGUGCCAAGUGAAACCUAUAGGAUCUUCUUGGAUGAUAGUUAUUUGAUCUUGCUGAAAAUUCCAGAAACUUUCUGUUCACGAAAACAAUUGUUAAUAAUCACCAGAACGUGAUAAAAUACUGAUUCCAAUUGCAGUAGAUCAAUAAACAAAUUGUCUAGGUCUUCCUAUUUUGGUAGAAUUUUUUGAGUUACAGAAGUUUGCAUUAGUUACAGAUUACUACAGACUGUUCUCUUUUUUGACAGAUUCUGUUUUUCGUGUGUUGUUUGCUUAUUUUGAUGAAUCUAUGGCUAGUAAAAUAGUUUAUAAACCAUAGAGAAGUUGGAAUACAGUAAGUUUAACACCAAUAGAAAUAAAUAAUGAGUUCAAUACAGUACCUUGAAGUGGUGUUUUGCUUUCUUUCGCUAACGGAGCUCACGAGAUUUUCUGUUAAGUUUUGUGUUGUGAAGUUUUCAAGUUUUGGGUAAAGAUUUGAUGGAUUAUGGAACAAGGAGUGGCAAGAGCCUAAGCUUGGGGAUGCCCAUGGCACCCCAAGAUAAUCUAAGGACACCAAAAAUCCAAAGCUUGGGGAUGCCCCGGAAGGCAUCCCCUCUUUCGUCUUCGUCCAUCGGUAACUUUACUUGGAGCUAUAUUUUUAUUCACCACAUAAUAUGUGUUUUGCUUGGAGCAUCCUGUAUGAUUUGAGUCUUCGCUUUUUAGUUUACCACAAUCAUCCUUUCUGAAUACCCUUUUGAGAGAGACACACAUGAUUCGGAAUUUAUUAGAAUACUCUAUGUGCUUCACUUAUAUCUUUUGAGCUAUAUAGUUUUUACUCUAGUGCUUCACUUAUAUCUUUUAGAGCAAGGUGGUGGAUUUGUUUUAUAGAAAUUAUUGUUCUCUCAUCCUUCACUUAUAUCAUUUUGAGAGUCCUACAAAACAGCAUGGUAAUUUUCUUUAAUUGUGAAAUUAGUCCUAAUAUGCUAGGUAUUCAAGAUUAGUAGAACUUUCUUAUGAGUGUGUUGAAUACUAAGAGAAGUUUGAUGCUUGAUGAUUGUUUUGAGAUAUGGAGGUAGUGAUAUUAAAUUUGUGCUAGUUGAGUAGUUGUGAAUUUGAGAAAUACUUGUGUUGAAGUUUUCAAAUCCCGUAGCAUGCACAUAUGGUAAAUGUUAUACAAAU